AAUUAAAAUUUGAUUUUGCUAUUUAAUAUUUCAACUUGUUUGAUCCGCUUCGUUUAUUUUUUUAAAAAUAAACUUAGCUAAAAAUAUGAAUCAACUAGAGUUCAAACUUGAGACCUCGGUACCAACCACCAAAUUCUUUGCCACUUGUGCUAGGGGGACCACGGGUACCAAUCAUCAAAUUCUUUGCCACUUGUGCUAGGAAUUGUUGGUAAUAAUAUUUGGACUUUAAAAAUUAGAAUAUGUAGUUUAUCAAUUUAGAUUUAGUUACUAUAUUUUAUGCAACUCUCAAAACUAUAAAUUUAUUAAAAUAAAUAAAUAAUUUAAAUUCAAGAGUUAAAAUAUGUUUAAUUGAUUUAAAUCAAAUAAAUUGAAAGGUUUGAUAGUAAAACUAAUAUUUUUAAUUAAAUCAAAUAAAUUGAAAGGUUUGAUAGUAAAAUUAAAAUUUUUAAAAAUUAAAUAGUCAAAUCCGAAUGAUCUUUAUAUAUUUAGGAUAUAAGUUUUAUACGCUGUUAUCAAAAAGAAAAAUACUUUUGGUAUAUUCAAAAAGAGGUGUAGAUCUUACUCUUCAUCCUAGAAUUAAUAAAAACUUAAAUAAUUUUUAGUAAAAAAUAAAAAAUAAUAAUAUAACAAAUAGAAUAGUUUUGAAAUAAAAUGGAGAUAAGACAUACACUAAGGCCCCGUUUGGAUACUUCUAAAAACGUAACAUAGUUAAACUAUGCUACGCCGGUAGGAAAAUAAUCCUAUGAAGCGUUUGGAAGAAAAAAAAAUAAUAACGUAAUUUUUGGAGUAUAGUUAUACUAUACUCCAAAAAAUGGAGUAAACUUACAAGGAAAAAAUUUCACCAUUUUGGGCUCCCAAAGAUGUAUCAAUUUUUAAAGUUUAAAUUUCAACAUAAAAUUUUAAAUUUCAAAAUUUAAAAUUUUAAAAUUCAAUUUUAAUUUUGACUUUAAAUUUUAAAUUUUAAAUUUCAAAUUUCAAAAAGUUCAAAUAUCAAAUUUCAAAUUUUAAAUUUCAAAUUUCAAAUUUCAACUUUCAAAUUUCAAAUUUCAAAUUUCAAAUUUCAAAAAUUUCAAAUUUCAAAUUUCAAAUUUCAAAAAGUUCAAAUUUCAAAUUUCAAAUUUCAAAUUUUAAUUUUAUUUUUAAUUUUUAAUUUUCAAUCUUCAAAAUUUAAAUUUAAACUUAAAUUUAAAAUUUUAAAUUUAUAAAUAUGUAAAUUUAUAAAUUAUUAAAUUUGAAAUUUAAAAUUUUAAUUAUAGAUUUUUUAAAUUUCAAAAUUUAAAGUUUAAAUGGUAUACUUUACAUUUUAUUUUUUAAAGUUUCAAAUUUCAAAUUUUAAAUUUCAAAUUCCAAAUUUCAAAUUUCAAAUUUAAAACAUAAAAUCUAAUUUAAUUUUUUAAUUUUAAAUUUUAAAUUUUAAUUUUAUAUUUUGAAUUUUGAAUUUUAAUUUUUAAAAUUUUAUUUUUAAAUUUUGAAUUUUGAAUUUUGAAUUUUGAAUUUUGAAUUUUAAAAUUUUAGAAAUUUAAUUAUUAUAAAUAUUGUGGAAUUGUAUGAUCUGUAUCUAAACAGCUUAAAAAUGAAGCUGUGGAAUUUUUUUUAUAGUUAUAAAAUUUCGUAUUUUCUUUAGACCAAAAUCAUAGAAUAAAAAUUUCAUGAUGUUUUUUAACUAUACAUUCAAACAGGGCAUAAACUUUGGAGUGUAAGUGUAGCAUUUGCUCAACCAAGAAUGGCAGCAGGCACCGAGGCCAAUCAGCUCUGAUCCCCCGUCCCCGCCUGCAGUCUGCCGUCCAAAUGCUGGGCCGCCUCCAUCUCCGCCUCCGACCCCUCGGCCGCCUCUCCUCCCUCCAACCCCCCUUCCCUCCUCCGCUGCUCCUCCCCACCACCGCCGCCGCCGCCCACACCACUCCCACAUCCCCUGCAAACCGCCCCACUCUUUCACCAGCUUGUAAACAACCAUCUCCGACUACCCUUCUCCUCCUCCACCAGUCCACGAAUCGAAGAGCAGGAAAAGGAGGAGAAGGAAGCUUCUGCACAAAUCGAGCUGCUGUGGACGCCGCGGCGGACGUCUCCGCUCCCUUCUACUCCGCCCACAUUCGUUGCCGCAAACGAGAUGCCGUGGGUGCUCCCCUCACUCACUCCCCCUUUCCCUCUCCCCUUCCUUCUUUAGCAGCAUCACGUAGGUGUUGGAUAUAAAUAUUAAAAGUCUAAAUUACAGAAAAUCCCUAUGUAUAUACAUGCCUUUUCACUUUUUGUCGACUUUAAAAAACCUACAUUUUACUUCUUUAAAAUUUCAGAAAUAUUUUCAGGAGAGUACAGCGUUAAUGGAGAGGGCAAAAUGUUCAAAUUGCCAUACUUUUCACGUGAGAAAUUUUUUUUUUAAUAUUUCUGUUAUUUGAAGAAUAUUUUCGGUAUAAAUUAUAAGAAACAUACAAAAUAGUGAUGGAACUCUGACGGAAGAGGGCUAAAUGCAAUAACUUGAAAUGUUGAGGGGGUAACAUGUAGGGUUUUGAAAGUUAGGAAGAAAAAGUGAAAAAAGGGAUAUUUAUAAAAAGGUUUUCUAUAAUUUAGCCAUAUUAAAAAUACUAUUAUCCGGUAGCUUAAGCUUCUGAAAAAUAAUGGUUAUUUCGUAUUGUUUAAGCUGCUAGGGAAUGGUGAUAAUCUUCGAACCCCUGCGCAAGUGGCAGAUAUAACGUGAACUUGCCACAUGCAUUAACUGAAAAGAUAAUGUAAAUGAUAACAAAAAUGGCGGAUGUUUGUUACUGUAAAUAUCCAAAAAUUGAUCUAGUAGGAAAUUGCUCAGAAUUAAUCUUCACAUAAAUGAACUUACCAAACUAAUCUAAGGAGGGAAAAUGCUAUAGUUGAAUUAUCAAAAUAGAUAGAAAUGAGUAGCUUCCUAUAAUGGGAAAAAAAAACCUCAUCCUUGCAAUGCCAAAAGAAGGAAGCUAUACUGUUACAAUUUACGAUUCUUAUAACUCUUCUUGUUUCAUAUUGGAUAUUAGAUUUCUGUUUUGGAGAUUACAGUGGAUUUAUUUAUCUAUUUAUCAAGAAUCGUGGGCAUACGAUUAUUCGAUUCUCAAAUGUUGUGAAAGAGAUUGUGUUCAUAAUAGCAAAAUCGCAUUCCUAUGAGAAGAAAUGGUGUUUUUGUUCCUAUUGAAUUUGCCGCCCUCAUUUCUCGUAAUAUCUUCUUUUGAAAUACGUUGCUAAAUUAUAAUUGGAUAUCAUAUCUAUUAUCUGGCAAAAUGCUUUUCUGUCUAAUUGCCUUCAGUUCUUAGUGAUCAUCUCGACGUUAAUAAUUUCGGAAAAUUCGUUAGCUAAUUAAUGUGUAUUUUGUUAUCUGUGCAUGAAAAGUGGAUAGCUCAAAAUGCCUUUUCUGUGAUUUCGGAGUUGUUCAGAAAAAAUGGGAAAACUCUGCUUUUCAGAAUAAUCAAUUCAAUUAAUGAUUUCUUGUGCUUUGUUUGUUCAGUUUUAAGAGAAAAGACAGAUUUUGUGCAUUUACUUGUCCAUUGUUUAGACACUAACACAAACAAUAUAGUGCAGGAGGCUCUAUCAGAAGCUCUUAUGUGCUUUGGUGCAAAUUGUAUUAGCAUGGAUGAAUUAAGUGAUCAUGGAGAUCAUGAUGAAGUGAGCCAUUAAAUUCCUUAUCUUCUUUUGUGGUUAAAAUUCUGUAAUAUCUUCUUCUUGUAUUGAGUUGUCAAAUAUGGAUAUGUUUUGCGUGCCACACCGUUGAUUCUCUUUACUCUUCCAUGAACUUACAGUUAUAUUGGUAAUUUAUAUAGCUAAUAGUAUCUGACCAAUUCUGAGGAUCAAGUCUCAAGGUGCUUGUUAGACGACUGGGGAGUGCUGGUUAAAAUGAUAUCACUCUUACUUAGAGAUGAUUCUGAAGGGACAAACUAACAAGUUUACAGCUAGAGUAAGUUUAUUAAAUGUUAUGCUGACCAAUUUUAUUGCUGAGUAAGCAAGCAACCCUACUCACAAGUAGCAUGCUAUCGUGAAGUCUAAGAAUGCAAUGUGACUAGCAAAACCAAACAGUUGGACAUGAUUGUCGAUGCUUGUAAUUGAAAGAGAGCUUCAUGGGAGGAAGUUUCUUGAGCCUAUUUCUCUAAUUGCUGUCUAUUGGGACAGAAACUGUGCUUAGAGUUACUAAAGUUGUGCCACAAAAUCAGGAAGAAUCACAUGGUGAAUAUAUGACAUUUGAGUCCACGUGGUAUACUAAAGUGAAAACGUGAUGGAUAAGUUAUUUCUAAAUGAUGUAACCUGGUCAAGGUAAAUGAUGAAAUUGACAUAUUAAAGAUAAAAAUAGCCAUUUUUAACCUAUAUAUCUCAGUUUAAGCAGUUGAUUCAUUAGUUCCAAUAAAAAAUCAAUUUGACGAUGUAUCUCAACGAAAUGUAGGUUGACUAUCUUAAUACUAACAAAUAAAAUUGCCAAAACAGUAUAAUUUUGAAAUUCAUCCUGUAAAAAAGAAUGCACGUAUAGAACCCGACAUAAGUUUAAAGAUCUAUACAAACAAUGCUAAAGAGGGAUGCAUUAUUUAUUUAGGACUUCUGGACAGCAAAUAGGUUGAUCAAAGGGAUGUAGUUCAGUUGGGUAUCCGCAGAAUUGCUGUCUAACAGAGCUGUUCAAAGAAGCAGAAAUAUUUUCAUUAAAAUCCUCCUGAGAGUCUCCUGCUGGAGGAAACGUAACACUUGCAAUUGGGCCUUCUCCUUUAGGGACCCAAAACUUCAUGUCAGCUUUGAGCCAUAGCACAAAUUCUAGAUAUUUGCCUGGAUUUUGGAGUCAUUUGCUUUCUAGAGUAGAGAAGCUGCUUCAGAAGCAAUUCAUGAGAACAAACAGGUGCAUGCUUUAGUACUUGUUUGGACUUGGAGCAUGCACUGGAACAAACGUUUUUUGGUAUAAGCAAUUCAUUUGUCGGACAUAAUCCAAACAAGUACUAAAGCAUGCACUGGAACAAACCAAAACAGUUAUAAGCAAUUCAUUUGUCGGACAAUAAACUCCAGAAGCUGCUCCUGAGAUGUAUUGAAGAAGAUUGGUAUAGGUAGCAAACAGACAAUGAUUUGCCACGGGAGAGGGCAUAGAUGCACUCUUAUAGGGUUUAUGGAGCAAGGACUGCGAAGUAAGAGCUGAAUAAAUUUGCCUAUUUCCAGGUAUACCAAUAUGUCAAUAAUUAUGAUAAAUAGUAAUUUUGAGUUAAAGUUGAGAAAGCUAAACAUAACUACACCGUUUGCAUGGAUUUGCAAGAGCUGUUUAUGAUUGCCUGUGUAUUGGGUUGGAGUUGUCCUAAAUCAGUAUUUCUUUUUGUGAACUUGUUACUUUGCUGUCAUUUUUGAGAAUAAUUUAGGUAAAAAUUUAUGGAAUUUACCUGAACUAUGGACCAUUUGGAUUUGGCUACCCAACCUUUCAAAAAUUUGAUUUCACUCUCCAACCUUUCAAUUUAUUUGAUUUGAGUUAGUCAACAUUACUUUGACUCCAAAAUUUAAGCUAAUUACUUACUUUAAUAAACUUAUAGCUGUGAGGAUUGUAUGAAAUAUACUAACUAAAUCUGUAAAGAGAAAAACCCAUUCAAAUUUUUAAGUCAAAGUGCCAUUGACUGACUCAAAUUAAUAAAUUAAAAGGUUGGGUAGUAAAAUCAAAAUUUUGAAAGAUUGGGUAGCUAAAUCCAAAUAGUUCAUAGUUCAGAUAAGUUUCAUGCAUUUUUUUUUCCAAUAAUUUAGUAUUUAUAUGCAAUGCCUUCUGCAGAUCUGCCUAACUUCAAUUUUUCCGGAUGGACAAGAUGUGAGCGCAUGUAUCUCGAAUGCUGCAAGUUCCGUUGGUUUGGAUUAUGUACCGAAUUAUGAAGUCUCAAUGGGUAAGCAGUGUGAUUGGGUGACAAAUGCACAGGUUAAUUCUCCACCGUCAGUCGAGCUCUUAAUUUGUGCAAUUCUACUGUUCCUCUUAGUCUCCUUCGAGAAAACUCUAUUUUAUCUGAUAGGAUUUUCUUUUGGUUUUUCAUAAAAUAGAAACAUUACAAUUACUUUGGCGUUGUAAGCCAUAAGUUCUUUAUUUCUCUUUCUGAACCUUAUUAAAGAAGUCGGAGUAAAUAACAGUUAAUAUCAGUUUGAAUAUGGAGUGCAAUGCUUCUCAGAUUUCUGUUAUCAUCGCGACAAUCAAUAGUAGCUAGUUUGAUAACUGUAAUUGUUAACUAUGGAAUUCUUGUCUACUGUGUGAUAGAGAAGUCCCUAAACACUGGUUUAACGUAGAUAUCAUUUACGCUGUUUAGCUCACAGAAAUUGAUUUUAAUCAACUAAUACAGGGAAGUGCACCCUGUUUUAUUACUUUGGCCACAGUGUUGGAGAACAAUUACUAGAAUUUUUUGUUGUACUCUUGGGAUUAUGUAAUUACGGAGAAUUGUGUUGUUUUAGUUUUGAACUGUUUCUUCAAUGACCUUUUAAUUUAGUAAAGGCUGUUUGUAUUUGCCGCACAGCAUUUUUGUAGUCAAACCAUUUAAUAACAUUUGCUACUUAAUAUAAUUGGCAAUUUAGAACAUGGCACAUUUGGACAACUACCGGAAACCCAGGAAAUAUGUAAUAUUCGGAAAGUAGACGCUGCAAUAGUUCUUACGCAAUGUUGGUUCUUUCUAUUGAUUCUUUGUAAUAUCCUGUUGAUUCUUUGUAAUAUCCUGUUGAUUAAAUUUACUGUCUCAUGGGAUAAUCUUUGAUACUGGAAGGGGACAACAUCUCUCGUUAUGUCUACUACAGGAAUCUUUUCAUCCAAUUGAGGUUAUCGAUGGUCUCUGGAUUGUCCCCAAGUGGAGGGAUCCCCCUGUAUGUUCACACACAAUUUCUUUCUGCUCUCUCGACAGACAUACACAAAUAACAUUUUAGAUUGAUUUUUAUCGCUAUACAUAGCACUGCAUGAUGCUUUGCUGGUUCUUAAAUCUAGUUUAUAUGUGUUACUAUUUGGUGCUUAACUUAUUGUUGGCCACAUAUUGUGUAUAUAAUUAAAUAAUUAUAUAAUAUAUUAUCUAAAACAAUUUCAUGCUGUAGAUCAUUAAUUGCUAGAUGUUCUGAGCUACACUAGGAGCAGAUUGUAAACUAAUAUAUCUAUGUUGUUUUUAUAGGACUUGCAUACUGUUGUAAGAUGGAACUUUCAUGAAAUACCUUUCUCGAAGGUUCUAUUAUAUAUUGAUUUUGUAUGGCACUACAUCUCAUCAUAUGCGUUCUUCCUCCUCUUUCUGCAUGUUUAGAAAUUUCUUCACUACGUUUAGCGUUCCAGGCACUGAAAACAAAAUCUUAGUUAAAGUAUAGGAAAACUAAGAACAUAUUUGCACCUUAAUAAAAGGAAAUUAAGGUAUUGUAGCAUCCAAGUAUAAGACCGAUCAAACCAAAGAUCCAGGCAAUUACAAGUUAUUUCAUUUUCUGUACUGACCGGACGGUUGCAUCUCACUCUGCGAUCUAUGAAUUUGUUUACAUGAUAAUAAAGUAUGAUUAUGAUAUAAAAUCAACUGAUUUCUGGGCAUUUUGCUCCUUUGCGAUCAUUAGUAAGUCAGAAUUUUAAAAUUUUGUAAAUACAGAAAUAAGGAAUACUUUUACUUUGCUUUGAGAUUACAACGUUGCAAUAUUCGUAUAUGUAGUGUGCAAAGCAGCACCGGAUCACGGCCUAUCUUGCCUUUGCACAUUUAAUGGAAUUUUACCCUACUUGGAUGGAUAAAACAUUGAUUAGAAAUAUAAUUUAAUCGUCUAUGAAUUAAAUUGAUUGAAAUUCUGUUAUUUGUCGAAUCUGCCAGGACCCACGGGCAACAAAUAUUCUUCUGAAUCCAGGGUUGGCUUUUGGGACUGGGGAGCAUCCUACUACCAAGUUGUGUUUGUUGCUGCUACAUGAAGCCAUAAAAGGUGGAGAGCACUUUUUUGACUAUGGUACAGGCUCCGGAGUAUUAGGAAUUGCAGCACUGAAGGUUUCUUUUAUUGUUCUAGCUUUUCUCUCUCCUAUUCCUUUUCCCUUUUCCUUAAUGAGAUCAAACCAACAGAUUUUAGUUAGCCAUGAGUUCUUUUCUAACUAAUUUCUUCUUUUUUACAUAUUCAUAUAAUCGUGGAAUGAAUAAUAGUCCAAAGUUGUUUGCUAAACUUUUUUUCUUUUGCUGGCUUGUGUCUUUAAUUCUAGUGUCCCAAAAUUCUUAUGUAACAAAUAACGAAAAAGUAACUUUUGUCCAAAAUUGAAAUGUUAUAUUACUUUCAUUUUGGAUAAAAGCUACAUUGUUUGUCGCAAGCUAAUAUCGAUUCAUUCAAGUAGAGCAUUGAAUUCUCACGUGUCAUUUUGUUCCUUUAUUGUAGAUGGGGGCUGCAAUGUCUGUAGGGAUAGAUAUAGAGCCCCAGGCUGUGACUUCUGCACGAGAAAAUCUUUCCCUAAAUGGAAUUGAAUCUAGCAAAAUGUCAGUUUACUUGGUUCCGAGCAAAGUCAACUCACCAAAUAUUGAAUCUGCAAAGGCGAAAUUCGACAUUGUCAUAGCCAAUAUACUUAUGAAUCCUCUAAUGGAACUGGCUGAAGAUAUUGUUUCUUAUGGAAAGCCAGAAGCCGUCGUUGGUGUCUCGGGAAUUUUGUGUGAGCAGGUACUCCUAUUUAACAUCACUUCCAUGAGAUUGCCUUGUCUGCCAUUAUUGAUGCCCCACAUAUACAUGAAGCUACUCUCAUAGCACCAGCGCUUCGUUCCUUAAGACUCAUUUUAGAUGAUAGGACAUUUGAAUUGACAAGGCAAUCCAUUGGACAUGACAAAAGAGUAUUUGGAAAUCUCUUUGAACAAAAUCUCUAUGCAUGUAUGCAUUAUCUAUUUAUCACCUAAUUUUCUCUAUCGAACACAUGUAUGUAGGUCUAUGCAUGUACGCAUUAUCUAUUUAUCACCUAAUUUUUGUUUAGAAUCUUGCUUACCAUGAGUGCUACUCUAUCGCGCUGUCAUACUUGUAUGAAAUGUCGAUAAUUUGGUGUUUUUAUUGCAUUUCCCAACUAAUUAGCCCUGCUGGAGCAGGUUCUGCAGAUUAAAGAAGUUUACUCACAGUACUUGGAUAAUAUAUGGGUCUCCGAAAUGGAAGGUUGGGCAUGUCUCCGUGGGACGAAAAAGAGGAUCUGACACCGUGUUUGUUCAAAGCAGAUUCACCUCACAAUCAUAAUUUCAGCCGAAUUGAAGAAUUCAAUCUAACCUUCUCGCAGAACUUGGUUCUGUUUUUGUUGUAUUAUGAUUCUACUGUAGACUAGUAGUAUCUGUACAGAGGUGUAGCUGCAAUAACUAAUUUUGUUUCAGAAUGAGGACAAUUAGAUUCUAAAUGCAUUCUGUUAAGGGUUCAGUACAGUUUCACUUAGAAUCCCCAAAAUUUUACGGAAAGAGAAAAGAGCGAGAAAAACCAUACCUGCGGGGCUGGUUUACUUUUUAGAUUUCAAACGUAAAAUCUAAUUGACAUCAGCUUUGAAAAUCUGAACCAUUCACUAACAACAAUGUAUCAUUUGUGUUUUUGUAAGUAAUAACCUAUUGUGGUGUUUCUUAUGACUUCAUUUAAACUAGAAAAAACUUCAAAUACCACCAUUGUGGUUUCAUAUUUUUUUCAUCUUAAUAUUCUGUGGUUUAAAGUGCAUUAAUUUAGUACCCUGUGUUUUCGUACUUUCUCACUUUAGUAUCUUAUGGUUUAAAAUGCAUCAAUUUAGUACUAUGUGGUUUCAUUUUUCUCUUUUUGUCGGCUCCUCUGUUAAUAUUUCGUUAAAUUAUAUACAAAAAUACUUUAGAUAUCCUACCUAGGUUUAUCGAAUAUUUAUUUUAGUAUUCUUUAGUUUUAACUUUGUCACUAAUUUUUUUUUUCCUUAUCGAAUAUUUACUUUAGUAUCAUUUAGUUUUAAUUUUGUCACUAAUUUUUUUUUUCCUCCGUUAAUAUUUCAUUAAAUUAUAUACAAAAAAUUUUAGAUACCUUACUUAGGUUUAUAGAAUAUUCACUUUACCCUUUAGUUUUAAUUUUGUUACUGAUUUUUUUUUCCUCCGUUAAUAUUUCAUUAAAUUAUAUAUAAAAAACUUUAGGUACCCUACUUAGGUUUAUCAAAUAUUCACUUUAGUAUCUUUUAGUUUUAACUUUGUCACUGAUUUAACUAAAAAAAUUAAUAAAAUGGAUAAUAAAAAAAAAAUAAAAUUACAGGGUAUUAACUUGAUACACUUUAAACUAUAGAAUACUAAAGCGAAAAAGUAUGAAAUCACAGGGGUAUUUGAAGUUUACCCUUUAAACUAUGACUCCACAGUUUCAUUGGAAAACAGCACAGCAUUUUUAAUACCAAAUAGGCCCUAGUCAAAAUGCUGCGGUGAAACCACGUAGAGAUAGGACUACAGAAAUUAUAUUUUAAUCAAACUUGUGCUGUCUGCACAAGUACUUUGGCGCAUUAGUGAAAUAUUUUAAUCAAACUAGGGCUGGGGGCAGGCUCCGAAUGUACAAGGGAUUAACCCUGUGGUACAAAAUUUCGGACUACCACAAGGACCGAAUAUAGCAUAAGCACAAGAGCAAGUUCCCGCGCAAGGGAACAAUAAUGAAAUAUAUGCACAGAUCGAAAAAGUCAUCCGAAAUACUUUAGGAGUAGGUGUAAGGCCUGCAAUGCGGUCUGUAUUUAGAUCACCUUAUCAUGCAAAUAUAGACGCAGAGCAUCCAUACCCGGCAAAUUGGAAAAUGUCGAAAUUUGACAAAUUUUUCGGUGAUGAGACCGAAAACACGGUCGAACAUGUUGCACGGUUUACAGCACAAUGCCAGGAAGUUGCGGCAGAUCCAUUUUUAAAAUUGAGAUUAUUUAACACUUCGUUAACCAAGACAGCUUUCACUUGGUAUACAAGUCUAUAGGCUAAUUCUAUCCAAGAUUGGGACGAAUUAGAAAGAAAAUUCCAUGAGCAAUUCUAUAGGUCGGAACCACAAUUAUUGGUCGCCGACUUGGUUUUAUACCGACAAAAGUCAGGUGAAACGGUGGAAGAGUAUUUGAACCGUUUUAAAAUAGCCAAAAUCCGGUGUUUUAUGAGAAUGCCGAAAUCAGAGUUCGCCAAAAUGGCAUUAAAUGGUCUACAUUUUAAGAUAAAAGACCAUUUUGAAGAUAAAUAUUUUUCUAAUAUAUUUGAUCUAGGUGUUAGAGUUGCCCAAUAUGAGUAAUUCCUUAAGAAAAGUGAGGACAAUUGGCUGCAAUGGAGCCGAUAUAAAAAUCAAAGCAAAGGCAAGGAGAAAUUCUUGCUAGAAGAACAGUCGGUUCAAAAAGAGCCGAGCCAAUCAAGUAAAAGUGAAGAAUCGGCUGAUAAAGCCGAGGUAUAUGCGGCUGGUAAAGAGCUACUUUCUUCAAGGAGAAAUCCUUGAUAGAAGAACAGUCGGUUCAAAAACAAGUGAAAGUGAAGAAUCGGUUGAUGAAGCCGAGGUAUAUGCCGCCGGUAAAGAACUACUUUCUUCAAGGAGAAAUCCUUGAUAGAAGAACAUUCGGUUCAAGAAGAGCCAAACCAAUCAAGUAAAAGUAAAGAAUCGGAUGAUGAAGUCGAGGUAUACGUGGCUGGGAUGAUAAAGCGCCGUUUUUUUAAAGCCGACCAAGACCAGCGAAACUAAAGCUUGGGUCUCAGCUGUGCCAUUGAACAGUCGAUUUGGCACUAAUAGUCAUCCGAAUGUUCAUUCGAAAGACUAUUGGGGGGGCAUUGUUGAUGCCAAAAUUAAAAUUAACACGCCGACCUAACCUACGUAUGAGCUAAAGAAAAAAAAACACGUGGUACACUAGGAGUCGACAAUAAGGCGCCUGAAGGUCAAGAGCGUUUAGGCGGGAACGGUUGAGAAGUGGGGCGUAACAUCCAUAUGAAGUGGGGCGUAACUUCCAUGAGAAGUGGGGCAUAACUUUCAUAUGAAGUGGGGCGUAACUUUCAUAAGAAGUAGGGCGUAACUUCCAUGAUCAUGGCUACACCACUUCCUCCACUACGAUAACUAACCAAUAAUGUGGGUUGAUAAGAUAUUAUAAAUAGUAACUUUGAAGUCUGUAAUAGAGGUCUUUCUCUUCCCUGAACGAGAAGACCAUCGCAUUUUCAAUACUUUUCUUUCCUACAUUUAUCGCUUUUUAGGAGUAGUCUAUAUGUAAUCUUUUUUACUCGCAUUUAUUGCUUUCCUAGGAGUAGUUUUUAAGUUAGAUCUCUGGAAUCUGUAUGCCCCACGGGCACACUCUGUUAUAAUCUAGAUUUUCAGAGUCUAUAUGCCAUUCGGGCACAAUUUGUUUUGUAUGAGUUCUCAAUUUCAUUUUAAUAUAUAAAGGCAUUCGGUUCUUUCAGCCGACCAGUUGUUGUGUGCUUCAUCUAUUCGGCUCUUCGACCGACCUAAGUCUUUGUGUAGUCCGUACAUUCGGCUCGUCCAGCCGAACUGACUCUACAGUAGAAAGUUUCGAACUCGGCUGAUCCGAUCUCUCAUCAGCCGAAUCGCUUGAUCCAGUUGAAAAGCGCAAACUUCGAGGGUCACUAUUCGUAGCCGUUCCGCAUCCCUACACAUUCCUCGAGGAAGAUCUUUGACCGGGUCAAGGAUCAAAAAAUUCGACUCCCAACAAUACCUAAUGCAUUUUUUCUGCCAGUGUAUAUAUUGCAAUAAGUCAAUUAAGAUAUAUUUUUUUAUGGUAUUGUCGGAAAAUAAAAAAGCUUAUCUUUAUCUUCUUUGGUGAUUUUGCACCAACUUUUCUCCCACUACCAAGCGAGCCCUUGGGGCUAAUUUGAAAAAUUAAUUAAUUUAUCAAAAUCCACAAGUGAUAUUUUUAAAUUGUAUUGAAAAAUCUGUAAUAGUUUUUAAAUAUAAAUAUAUUUUAAGAAUAUAGAGACAUUUUCAGAAUAAAAUGAGGCAAACCUCGGUUCAUAGUAUAGAGUAUAAAUAUGGCAAUGAAAUCAAUACAAAUUGCAUGUCAUAUUAUUAUCUUUUGAAAAAAGUAAUUCUUUUUUUAUUUCCGUUUUACAAAAAGUAAUAAAACUAUAUUUUUUUAGAACAAUACUACCUACGGACUCCUUCAGUGUAAAUUUUAAAUGUUUUUUUGCAUUUGGUCCCAUGAAAAAAAUUUAUUUUAAAAAUAACCCCAACAAAUUUAUUUUUAUAAAAAUGACUAUUUCCUCCCCACACAGGCGCCAUAUCAGCGCCAUAGUUUUAAGUUGAACACGGUAAAUCAUUCACCGUGUUCAAAUAUGGUGAAUGAUUUACCAUAUUCCAUACCUACAUUCCCCUCCUUUCCUUUUUUCAAUAUUUAUAUAUUUUUUCUAGAUACGGUGAACCGUUCACCGUGUUCAACUUAACAAACUGGCCCCAACCUAGGUCACGUGACGUUGACGUGGUGCCUACGUGGCAGGGUUAGGGUCAUUUUUGCAAAUAUAAAUUUGCUGAGGCUAUUUUUAAAAUAAAUUUUUUCUAAGGGCCAAAUGCAAAAAAAAACCUCUAAAUUUUAUACUUUAUUUAUUCAAAAGCCACUACCUCUCUACUUGUCUUAUCAAUUACUAUUUUUACAUUAAAAUCUAAAAGGUCUAUUUGGUGGCGAUAUUUUUUAAGGUUUCAUUUGGUUUGGGAUUAAAUAAGAAUUAGUUAUUCCAUAAAUAGGUAUAAGUUUAGGGUUAAGUAUGGAAUAGAUCAAUUUUACGUUUGGAUGAAAAUUGAGUUGUUUUCGGAAAUUAAAAAAAUAGCGUUUGGAUAGAUAAGAUGAAAUAAGAAGAAUAAUAGGCAGAUAUAAAUAGAAAAUAAUAAUAGUGGCCCUUUUAUUUAAAUUUAAAAUUUUAAAUUUUAUAUUUAAACAAAUUUAAAUACAUAACUUUAAAAAUUGAAAUAUUUAAAAUCUCAAAUUCAAAGAUUUAAAGUUCUAUAUUAUAAAUUUAAGAUUAUAUUUAAAUUUAAAAAAUAUAAAAUAUCAAAUUUUAAAUUUUAAAAAUUAAAAAUAAUAAUUUAAAAUUAAAAUUAAAAUUUAAAAAUUAAAUAGAUGUGUGAUUAGCUAAUUCUAUUAUUAUUCCAAAGGGGGUGGGAUUAGCUAGCCUCACCUUAUAAAAGAGUGUUUGGGGCAUCUAAGAUAAUUGGGAAUGAUGCAUCGAAAUUGUGAAAUCUCAAAUUUAUUUGGUCACAAAUAUCUGAUGCAGCAAAGAUAAAAUUUUUUGUGAAAUCUUAUAAUAAUCUCUUGAAAUGUGGGCUUGAUAAAUUUAUUUUUGCAUUAUAAUCCUUAUAGAAUUUAAAAACCAACAUUCUCGCUUGAUAAUUUUUUUUUCAAAUAUUUAAAUUAAAAAGACUAAAAUAUCCUUACACAAUUUUUAUAUCUAUCUUAAAAGUUUAAAUUGAGUGCAAGAGACAAAUAAACUUAUGAAUUCCAUUAAUUCAGGAAUAUUUAAAUAGAUUUUAUAUUCAAAUAUUUACUAUUUUUAUACAAUUAAUUUGGUGUAAAGUAAUAUAUAAUAAUGGGUAACUUCAAAUACCACCUCUGUGGUUUCGCACUUUCUCACUUUAGUACUCAGUGGUUUAAUGUGUAUCAAGUUAGUGUUCUGUGGUUUCAUUUUUAUUUUUUUGUCAGCUUUUUUAUUAAUAUUUCGUUAAAUUAUAUAAAAAAAUUUCAAAUAUCUCAUCUAGAUUUAUCGAAUAUUCACUUUAGUAUGUUUUAGCUUUAACUCUAUCAUUGAUUUAAUGAAAAAUUAGUAGAAUCAAUAAUACAAAUAUAAAAAUAAAACCACAUGCCACUAAAUUGAUAUAUUUUAAACAACAGAUUACUAAAGUGAGAAAGUAUAAAAUAACGGAAGUGGCAUUUGAAGUUUUUCCUAUAAUAUAAGUCACUUUUAUUGUUGCAAAAUUUGUGUUGGUGUUUGGAUCAAAGAUAAAAAUAAUAUAUUCCUUAAAAAGCAAAAUUUUUAGUUAAAAAAAUUUAAAUCUGAUCAACCAAACAGGCCCAAAGAGGUGUUCUGAACCCUAAAAUAGAAGAAGGGUUUUUUUUGCAAAUAGCCCCCUGAUAAAUUUUAUUUGCAGAAAUAGCCCCGUUCAAAAAUUAUUUGCAAAAAUGGCCCUGCCCCUGCCACACCAGCGCCACGUCAGCGCCACGUGGGCAGGGCGGGUCCAGGUGUUUAAGUUGAACACGGUGAACCAUUCAUCGUGUUCAAUACAAAAUUUUUGUAUUGGAUACGGUGAAUGGUUCACCGUGUCCAAUACAAAUACCCCAACAAUGAGUAAGUUGGAGGUAUUUGUAUUAGACACGGUGAAUCAUUCACCGUGUCCAAUUAUUUGUAUUGGACACGGUGAAUCAUUCACCGUGUCCAAUACAAAAACUUUGUAUUGAACACGGUGAAUGGUUCACCGUGUUCAACUUAACCAUCUGGCCCAGCCCCGCCCGCGUGGCGCUGACUUGACGCUUGCGUGGCGGUGGCAGGGCCAUUUUUGCAAAUAAAUUUUUGACAGGGCCAAUUUUAAAAAAAAAAAUUAUAAGGGGGCUAUUUGCAAAAAAAGCCGAAUGGUAAGAUUUACACUUUUUUUUCUAUUUUCUCUCUCUCUCGCUCACCUUUUGCCCUCAAACAGAUUAAGUAUUGAGAAGUAUUAAGAUCUUCUUUUUCCGCCCAUCCCUGACCACCAUUCUUGAGGUAAAUUUUUUUUAACAAAAGAAAUUUGUGAAAAAAAUUAGAUUAUUUUUUCUUUCUUGUGUGUACAUGGUUUCUUGCUUACUUUCCCGUCAUUUUUCUCUGUUGCAUUUGUUCUAAUUUCUACAUUCGUAAAAUUUCGCAAAUACGAGUUCUUGUUUCUAAAACUAGAAAAAGAACUCGUAUGGGUUGUCGGGUAGAGCAGAAAUAGAACCCUUCUUCUGCUUUUAGGGCACAAAAAAUCUCAACUUCUUACCACAGCAGGCUUUUCGUUUGCCAAAUAUCUGAAAGUUGCUUUCUGGGAGUAGAAAAGGAAUUUUUUUUAUAAAUAAUCCUACCAAUUUUUAUAAUUAUAAAAAUAGUUUUUUUUUUUAAAUAAUUGUAAAAAUAGACCUCUAACAUAUCAAAUUGAGAUAUUGAAAAAAUAAAUAAUAUAGGCGGUGAAUGAGUCACCGUAUUUAAAUGCGCUCCUUCUAAAACUGUUGUAGAGAUAUAGAAAGGCGUAGAAAAAGGAAAAAAACUUCACCGCAUUCAUAAUUCCUCCUAAAACUGUUGUAGAGAUGUAGAAAUGCGUACAAAAAAAAAAAAAAAACGGUGAAUGAUUUACCUUUUUUAAAAGCGGUGAACCAUUCACCGCUUUUAUAGGACCGUAAAAAAUUUAAUGAAUGAGGUGAAUUAUUUACCGCUUUCAGUUUCUCUCUCAGCCAUAAGACUAUAUUUACAAAUAAAAAUUUAACAGGUCUAAAUUUAGAAUAAAAUUUUGGGAGAAGACUGCUGCACUAAAAUCUCCGUAGAAAAGCCAUGCCAGAAGAAGCCCUGCUUCUGCUUUUUGGGAGUAGCAAGCAGUAAUUCAUUCACCCCAUAGGACUAGUUUUGUAAAUAAUUUUUUAUGGAACUAUUUUUAUUAUAAUAUUCGUUAACCCUAUUAAUAAAAAAAAAAAUUCGUUUAGAUCCUAGUAACUAUGGUUUCGGUGUUCUUUUUUGCUUCUAUUUUUUUUUCAAGUUGUAGUCACUUGCGGUAAAGCAUUUGGCAAAAUAAACCACCUAGCGCUUCAGUUGUAUCGGAAAACUAAAAUAAGAUUCUUCUGCUUCAAAGAGAAGUUGUUGGUGAAAUUUUUAUAUAGUACUUUUCCACAUAACUGUAUUUGAACAGCACUUGUAUUGUAGUACUUCUCCUAAUAGCUCUAUUUGAAUAGCACUUCAUUGAAAAAUGCUACAUCCUAUAGGAGGACAGGUAAAUGAUGCAUAAACGGAAUGCUCACUUAUAGUGAAAAAAAUAACCAAAUUAGAGUCGUCUUAAAAGAAAUUCGCAUUGUCUCACUGUGAUUUAAUCUUCUCGAUGCAAGUCUUUUAUGUUGACCUCGAUUCUUCAUAUAGUUUUACAUUUGCAUACUUCUGCUGAGAAGAUAAAUUUUGACAAAUUUGUUCCAUGGCUUGUUAUAUUUCAAACUUUUAGUUGAAAAUUCUUGAAUAGGAAAUAGAAGAAAAAGAAUGGUACCUUUUUAGGGAAGCAAAUGAUAUUUUCAAAUGGCUUGAGUGGUUAGAUGUAAUGCCCUCUGAAUAAUUAAUUAUUUGGAUUGUAGCUGUCUCAGCCUCUUUGAUCCCAACCAUGUGCAGCCUAACCAUAAGCAGCUUGAGGUGGGAAUGAUUGUUAUGUUUUGUUUUUAAGGAAAAUAUUGAAUUGCACUGUUUUAAAUUGUUCCAAAUGUGAAAAUUGUAGCCAAACAAAGAUUAGCAUCGAACCAGAUUGAGCCAAUCUAAAUAGUUGCCUUUCUGUUCUUUUUACCGCUUCACCCUUUUAGCUCAGCAGUUUUAUGGCACGGCCCUAUUGGUAAGCUAUGUACUACCUGCCUCUUGUAUGUUACAUGACAUAGGUUCUAGAGUCAUUUUUUGGUAAUUAGAUGCUUGUUCCGAAACAUCAAUUGCAAUUGCCACAAGGUUUCUUUCAUCAGUUUUACUAUCAAAAGGAGGCAGAUGAAAUUCUUGUUAUUCCAGGUAAGUAUUAAAACAUCAUAUAGAGAUCUGAACUACAUCAAGUGUGGACUAUAAUAAUAAAAACCGCAAUCAUGGUAAAUUAAUUCUAAAUGCAAGCCUAGGCCCUCGCUUUACGCAAAUGACUCCUUCAAGUGUCUGUUCUUUGACCAGCUUCAAGUAUCCACGUUAUAAAAAAAAAUCUAGGUUGGUCCACCAUCAAUGUCUGCUAAGUGGAAAAAUUGUUGUUGUGAUAUGAUGUCUGCUGUGAUGCAGAAUAGCUAGGAUGAUUUUUCAUGAAUAUUUUUAUCUUCCUAUGCAGUUUCAUGUGACGUAUGAUUCAUAUAAUUUACAAUUUUUUUUUUUUUUAUCAUGAACAUCUUGUAUCUUUCUGCUGUUUCAGCUACUUGGGCUAUAAACUAAACAAGCUAACAACCUAUUACGAUCUCUUAUUAAGCAUCACAUGGAUUUGGGAACUGGGGAUCCACUGUUACCAGAUCAAAACGGCCAACUUAAAAGACCACUACUACGUAAGGUAACAUGCAAUUGUAAGUUAUAUCCGGUAUCUCUAUUACUUCUGGCAGUCGAAGUAAACUGAAAGACAUCUCUCACCGUUGUGCAGGGAAAAGCUAUGCUGCAAAUAUCCCAGCGAACAACAAAGCUGAACAAAUGGGUGUUGAAUGAAAAGCAGAAACAAUUGGUAUCUAUAACUGGACUAGGAAAUCUUAUGCAUUGUACGGGAUUCAUUGUUGAUCGGUUUUUGCUCUCAGCAUUCUGUGAGUGGUGGAAUAGCAAAACUAACACUGCACACUUUCAUGGCUUCGAGAUGGCCCCAUCGCUUCGAGAUGUUUCUUACAUUCUAGGCAUCCCUGUCACUGGACAAGCAGUAACGGGAGAACCUCCUGGUCCCAAUGCGGCCAGAAGACUAUGCUUACAAUAUUUAGGGAAGGACCCUGGGGUGUGGAAUGGUAAAUAUGGCUUAAUUAGACUUACUUGGUUGUUCAAUGAAUUCCAUGAAUUACCUGAGAAUCCAACCAUCGACGAGAUUGAGUAUAGCACAAGAGCUUACCUGCUAUACUUGAUUGGAUCCACUUUGUUUACAAGUCUAACAAACGGAUUUGUUUCACCAAGGUAUUUGCCACUUUUGGGGGACAUUGAGAAUAUUCAUCGGUAUGCGUGGGGUGCUGCCGCAUUAGCUCAUUUGUAUCAAGGUUUAUCCACUGCAGUAAAUCCCGAUGCCACCAAGUUUUUAUCUGGCAGUGCUACAUUGCUUAUGGUAAGAUUUGUCAAUGACACCUUUAAUGGCAAAAACUUUUUGCGUAGCAUAAAUUUUCUUUUAGGUUUGGCUGAUCGAUGGAUGUUUUUCUGUUUCUUCUCGUGUAAAGUCUUGGAUAUAUGAGUAUUUACCAGUAACACGUCGCGAGGUGAAGAACCAAGACUUCUCUGCUUUUCCGCGUGCCUGCAGGUGGAAAUUUAGUAGGGGGAACUGUGGUGUAAGAAAGAGUGUUUCGGCUUUCAGAGGAGAUUUUAAUUUGCUUCAAUUAUCAGAGGUAAGUUAAAAUUUGAAGUUGUAGUUAUGUGUAUAUAUAUCCCUGCUAACUUACCUGUUUACAAAUCCCUAUAUAUCCGAAACCUUUCUAGUACAAAACCGAUGUCUCCAGUGAACUCAGCGAAUCCCCGAGUUAAGGAUAUUUUGAUGGAAACUGAACUUUUCGAAUGUUAUAUUUAGAAAAAUUGAGAUCUUAUGUGGGAAAUAUAUAUAUAUAUAUAUAUAUAUAUAUAUAUAUAUAUAUAUAGAGAGAGAGAGAGAGAGAGAGAGAGAGAGAGAGAGAGAGAGAGUAGGGCUGCUGUGCUCUUAGGAGCACGGAGGCCUCCAUGCUCCUGAGCCGCUUUCGAUGAUGGAAUUUUUGAAUUGACGAUCGGCUCCGUUAGAUUUAAUCUAGCGUAUUUGAAGUUUCUAGAAAAUAAGUUUUGCGAUUUUUUGAUAUCAUUUACCUAGUGAUCGAAAGGAUUCAAAAUCAAUAAUUUUUAAUGGUUGAUAUCUGCCGUUUUCAAGUUUAACGGCAUAGAAGUAUUCAAAUCACAUGAAAUUUUGAUACAAAAUUCUUUAUAAUAUAUACAGCAAGAUCAAUAUUUCUGAUCGAAAAUUUUAGUGCUAUAUCACCACUUUUUAUAGGAUUUUUAUUUUUAGCCGUUAAAAUUAUUGAUUUUGAAUCCUUUCGAUUACUAGGUAAUGAUAUCGAAAAAUCGCAAAAAUUAUUUUCUAAAAACUUCAAAUACGCUAGAUCAAGUCUAACGGAGCCGAUCGUCGAUUCGGAAAUUCUAUCAUCGAAAACGGCUCAGGAGCACGGAGGCCGCCGUGCUCCUAAGAGCACAGCAGUCCUACUCUAUAUAUAUAUAUAUAUAUCUAUAUUAUAGUAUAGAAUUGAUUAGAAUACUUUUAGAACACCAAGAGUUGAUUAAACACUAUUCACCUCACAUCUACCACCUACCACUCACCUCUCCUUGAUUACUAAUUACCCUUGAUAAACACUAUUCCACCUACCACCACCUACCACCACCUACCACCAUCCAUCCCACACCUUACACUCUCUCCCACCAUGCUAAAAACCAAAGCACCACCAUCUUAGAUGCUUUUGAAGUAUUCUAAGUCUCACUGCUCUCUCUCUCUCUCAAGUCACCAGAACUCGUCUUCGCCUCGCUCCUCUCUAAUAAUAUAUAUAUAAUAUAGUAUAUAUAGUAUGAUAUGUUUAUAUUAGAGAGAGAGAGAGAGAGAUCGAGAGAGAGAGAGAGAAGAGCUAGGCUGGUGUACUAUCAGUAGCACGGAGGCCUCCGUGCUACUAAAUUGUUUUCAAUGAUACGACUUCCAAAUCUACGAUCGGCUCCGUUAAGUUGAUCUACACUAUUGAAACUAUUUGGAAACUAAAUUUCAUUAUUUGUCGACAUCAUUUGGCUAGUGAUAAAAAAGUCUCAAGAAUUAACAAUUUAAUGGUAGAUGUGAUGCGUUUGGAAUUUAACCGGUUAAAACAAUCACCAAAUCUAAUGAAAUUUUUUAUAGAAAUUUUUUUCACUAUUUAGAGUAAGACCAGUACCUCUGAUUAAAUUCAAGUCUUUUAUCAUCAUUUUUAUGAGAUUUUUAUUUUCAGCCGUCAUUUUAGACUACCGUUUGAAUAGGUAAAUGACGUUGAAAAUUAUGAAAUUCAGUUUUCAAAUAUUUUUUAAUAGUGUAGAUCAAAGUCUAACGGAGCCCGAUUGUCAAUUGGAAGCCGCAACAUUGAAAACAAUUUGGUAGCACGGAGGUCUCCGUGCUACGAGAUAUAUAACCAGCCUUAUAAUAUAUAUAAUAUAAUAUAUAUAUAUUAUAUAUAUAUAUAUAUGGAUUAGAGAAGAGAGAGUUAAGCUAUAUAUAUAGAUAUAUGAUAUAUAUAUAUAUAUAAGAGAAGAGAGAGAGAGAGAGAAGAGAGAGAAGAGAAGAGAGAGAGAGGAAGAGAGAGAAUAGAGCUACUAUGCUAUCGAAAGCAUAGAGGAUUAUGCUUCUGACUUUUUGGCCCUUAGUUAGCCUCUUUAUUAUUUCUAACCUUGAUUAAUACUAUUACUUCUGUGGGACGCACUCAACCCUAGGGAUACUACUCAACCCUAGGGGGACCGCAAUUAUCCCAAACCGUAUAAUUUUUUCAUCCAAGGGCCAAAAUCGGAAGCAUCAAAUACUCUAUACUUCCGAUAACAUAGUAACUCUACAUUAUAUAUAUAUAUAUAUAUAUAUAUAUAUAUAUAUAAAUAAUAUACUAAUAUAUAAGAUACACACACACAUAUAACAUAUACAUUUACAUACACACACCCACAUAUAAGGCUAGAAUACUAUUAAUAGCAACCAAGUCAUUGGUGCAUAAUUUUGGCCCUUGAUGAAGCGAUGUAUAUUACAAUGAUAGUGUCCCUAGGGAUGAGUGGGUGGUUGGUUGAAUAGUUAGAUCUAACGAGUGAAAAUGUCAAAGAGGUUUGAUCUAACCGGAGAAAACUUGAUAGCUCUAAGCGCUUGGUGCUAUUGAUAGCAUUGUAACCGACUAUAGAUAUAGAAAUAUAUAUAUAUAUAAUAUAUAUAUAUAUAUAUAUAUAUAUAUAUAUAGAACUUAAGACUAGAGUACAUUAAUAGACCAAAUCAUUGUGCUAUUAAUUUCGGCCCUUGGAUGAAGCGAUAUGCGGUUAGAAUGAUAGUGGUCUCCUAAGGUUGAGUGGUUGGUUGAAGUAAAUGAUAGAACGGAUGGAAGGUCAAAGGGUGUAGAUCUAAACGGCAGAAAACUUGUAGCACACCCUAGUUAGUAAUUAGCGAACAAUUCGCGAAUUUUUGAAUAAACCGAAUUAUAACGGCCUAAACAUUUUUCAAAAAAGUUUCGGAAAAAAACGCGUUUUUUCCGUAAAAAUAAUUAUCCGCAAUUAUUCGCUGAUUCGCGAAUGAUUCGCCCAAAAAAAAUGGCUCGUGAGUCGUGACACUCGUCGUCCUCCGUCCUCCCGCCCGCCCUGGCCGGCGCCGGGAGCAAGAGGGCCCGCGACGACGUUGUCGCGAGAGGAGCAAAAGCCGUGGCGUUGCGUUGCGCGCGCAGCGGAGGCAAAGGGACAGAGCGGCGGCGUUUGCGCGCGAGCGGAGCAAAAGGGACGCGUGUCCACGAGGCCAUUCGGCCUCGUGGACCGGAUGAGAGGGAGGUCCACGGGGACCUCCCUCUCAUUAAUAUACUAUAUAUAUAUAUAUUAUAAAUAUAUAUAUAUAUAUUAUAUAUAAUUAAUAUUUUUAAAUAUAUAACUUUUAUAUAUUAUUAAUAUAUGUUUAUUAUAAUUUUAAAUAUAUUUAAUCUAUUUAUAAAAAUUAUAAUAAUAAUAUAUAUAGUGUAUUAAUUAUUAUAUAUUUAUUAUAUAGCCGAAUUUUUGAUUCCGAAUUUUUAAUUGGUGAACGUAUAAUAUCCGUAUAAAUCAUGUAUCCGAAUAAUUACCGAAUUCGUUUUUUAGCCGUAUUUUUCAACGAAUUUAAAAAUUAAAAGACGAAUUUUAUCCGAAUUAUAUUCGUACCGAAUUUUUGCCGAAUCCGAAUUAACUAACUAUGGUAGCACCAAGUGCUUGGUGCUAUCGAUAGCAUUGUAGCCGGACUCUAUAUAUAUAUAUAGUUCGGCUAGGGUGCUUCUAAAAGCACUAUGAUGCUACCAAGUUUUCUACCGUUAGAUUUACCCCUUUGACUAUUUUUAUUCAUUAGAUCAUACUAUUUAACCAACCACCUACUUCAACCCUAGGGGACUACUAUCAUCCUAAAUGCACAUCCCUUCAUCCAAGGGUCGAAAAUCUAAUAGCACCAACGACUUGGUGCUAUUAGAAGCAUUCUAGCCUAAUUCUAUAUAUAUAUAUAUAUAUAUAUAUAUAUAUAUAUAUAUAUAUAUAUAUAUAUAUAUAUGGUGAUUUUGUAGGAAUAUAUCUGUCUCUCCAUUUUUCUAUGGUUUAGUUUGAAACAAUUUAUAUAAAUAUUUUGCAUUAUAUCAUGCCUUUCAGGUCAAUUGGACACCAUAUGAGGACAUGGAUCGCAGUAUUAUUCCGGAGUAUUGCCAUGCUUCUGAUAAUAUUUGCCAAACUCGGACAUGGCUUUUUAAUUUCAAUAUAAAAGAGAUAUAUGUUCCUGAAAGGUUUGCUCGACAAUUUGGGCAUGAGCAGCAAGAACUUGAUGAUGUGCCACAUUGGCAAAGAAGAACAACAAAUUCUUGGAUGGAUUGGAGAGUAGAAUAUGCUCAGGAAAUUGAAGAAUUUAAUCGAUUGUUCAAUAUUUAUCAUAAGGAGGUCAAUCCACCAUCAAGUAAUCAAGGAGCAAAAGAGUAUUCUCAUAUCAAUUAUAUGAUGAUGGUGAGGAAAAGAAAGAUAAUGAUCUAUUAUUUUUGAAUGAUUUAAAAAAAAAGGGUUAAUUUAAGGCGAUACCGUUGGGCUUUUGCAGGUGAAAGCUCUGAAGAAUGACCUCCCAGUGAUUGCUAAAUAUCUUGAAGGGCAAGAAUUACCUAUUGAGGUUGGAAGAUCCCUUGAAAAGUUGAAUAGUCUGAUGAGUUUUCCGCUGCUGAAAUCCAUUUCGAGGACAAAACAAGUAACCAAGAAGCAGAAGAUGAGUAAACAAGAACAGUUCGAGGUGACUGAGAAGCAGAAAAUUAGGAAACAAGAACAAAUCGAUUCCACUAAAGUAUUGGAGUCGCCAAGAUGUUCAGAUAGAAAAGCAGCAACCAAUGUGCGAAGGAGCUCGGGCACAGUUGAAUCUAAGAAAAGAAAGUGGCGUGGUACGAAAUCUGAUCGGGUGAAGAUAGAGAGCAAUCGACUACGAAGGAGUGGUAGGAUGUGCGUGCAGAUUAAGAAGUUCAAGCACAAGGAUGGACAGGGAGCGGAUCCAUCCAAUCCAAUCUCACUCUGAUGUAGAGUGUCUUCUUAUAGGGAAAUCCUCAACCAACCCCCAUUUGAUUUAAUGUCUCUGCACUUUGCUAUUCCGUGGUUCCGUUUGUCGCACUUAACUAUAUCAUGGUUACUGUUUUACUAUGCUACAAGGACCUCUUAUUGAUGGUAGAUUAGAGAUGGCACUUGGGAUGAUAAACUAUAAAACUCAAUAUAUUCAUGUGGGCGCAAAAUAGAGCCAUGAUCUCUAUGUGCCUUUCAAACCCGCCAUUAGUGAGAGGUCUUUGCAGGCUAGUGAAGUGUAACAAAUGAAAUUACAGGUAGCGAAGUGCGAGUACUUUAAACAACUGGUACGAUAUUCGAACAUUUUUCUUCUUUUAAUAACAUUUUUUUUCUCUUCAAUUUGCCAAAUAUAGCGCAUUGAAUUGUUUAGACGGAGAUGGAGAUCGUAGGCUGUUGGUUCAAAAAUAUUUGAAUGAAUUGCAAUUUUUCGGUGGUUUUAACUUGGUAUUCCUCAUUUCGCAUUAUUAGUAUUUUUUUCCUCUAAAUUAUUGUUCUACUAGUGGGUUUGAUUGAUUAGGAAUUUUUCCUGAGAUGUAUUUUACAUUGAUAAAGUCUCUCUUUCUGAUGAAAUUAUUUUUCUUUCUUUUUAACUCAACCUUGAGUGUUUGGUGCCUGCUUGGUAAGGCUCGACAUCCUUUUUUCUUUAAAAUCAAAAGUAGUUAUUUUAAUAAAGUACAAAAGAUUAGAUAAAAUAUGAAAUAAGCGAUUAGAAUAUAUUAGUGUAAAAAGAAUAUUUUAUGUCAUAUUGUGUUCAUAUACAAAUAUUUUUAUCGUUACCGCAUAGUUUAUGCUGUAGUCAGUAAGUUCUUGCUAUGAUUCUAUGUCAUGACAAUGAUUAUAUGCUUCUAGUUUAUUUUUAUUUUCCCUUCUAGUUCAUGGUAAUUUGGUCAAAAUUGACCUCACUCCGUUUAGUAGCUUAGCUACUUCUAAGCAGUCGGAUAUUUAACUUGUUGAAAACCUAAAUUGUUUAUAGAAAUGCAUUAGCAAAUACAUGGCAUUACAUUAUACGUGCCAGCACAUCAAAAACUUACAAAAAUAUAUUUUGCGUUACCUUUAGUAGCAUUUAUCAUGCAAUUCCUAAUACGAAACAAUAGAUUGAAACAAUUAAUUGGACUUCUCCCACAGCUUAGUAGAUGCAUAAGUUAAACACAUGAGCCAAAGGAUAAAAAACAAUAAAUAGGAGAUAAUCGUUUCUCUUUUCUCUUUUUUUCUUUUUCUUAAUGAGAUAAUAGUUUCUUUAUUGUUUAUUUUUUCUUGUCUCCACGCAUACAGAAAACCUAAAUCUGCAUGUGUCGAUUGUCCAACCAAGAAUCAUCUUGAUCAGAAUUUGUAUGUGAAAGAUAUGCUCUUCCGACGAUAUGAACGUCUCAAUCCAAUCCAAACUUGACCAUCCAGAUCCUCCUGAAUCACUACUCCUGUUUGGAAAAUUCAACACUUGCUGAAUUAAACUUCAAGAAAACUCAAAAGUAAACUCAAAUAAACUCCAGCUCGGAGUGCCGCCGUCAGAAAUAGUUCUUAGAUUAAGUUCCUGAAAAUACAUUUCGUAUUUAUAGUUCGCAGUGCAAUCAUUCUUCCAUCAUCAAGAGAUAUUAAACAGUUGACAAGAGCGCGAGACAUCGACGAAAAGAAAAUGCUACCAAAUGCCUUUUAUUGACUACAAAUAAGUAUCUGAUUGCAUAUAACUCAAACAUCUCUCUAUUGUCUUCUUCUGGGCAAGAGACCAGACCUAAAGAUGCAUAACUUACCUGCCUCAUGCUCCAUCAUAUUAUUUUGUUCUUCCUACAUAUACAACCAAGUGCUAGCUUUUCUUUCUUUCAGCCUCUUCCCUUUUUCUUUCUUAUCGUGAUAAGGCGAAAUGUUAUGAGCAAACAUGUCAAAGUGAGGAUGGUGAUUUAACUGCUGCUGCCGCAGAUUCUUUCUGAUAAGUAUACACGCCGAUCCCCCGCUUUCUUCCCAGUCGACCGGCAUCGACAUACUGAACGAGGAGCGGGCAGGGGCUGUAUUUGCUAUCGCCGAGUCCCUCGUGAAGAACUCUGAGUAUGGAGAGGCAGACGUCGAGCCCGAUGAAGUCUGCGAGCUCCAGCGGGCCCAUCGGGUGGUUUGUGCCCAGUUUCAUUCCCGUGUCUAUGUCCUCCUUUGUCGUCACGCCGGUGUACAAAGUGUAAAAUGCUUCAUUAAUCAUUGGCAUCAGGAUACGAUUGACGAUGAAGCCUGGGUAGUCUUGGGAGCAUAUAACAGUCUUCCCUAGCCUGCAUGAAUGGAAAAUUAAUUGAUUAGACAGGCUCAUUAUUUUGACCUAGUGAUUUGUAAAUUCCAAUAGCAUUCAAUAGCUGACGGAACGGUAGUUCUAUCUAAGUAAAAAGGCUUAAAGUUGAAGGAACAGUUAACAAAGGAAUCUAAAAUCAGCUGACAAAUUCAUUUCAAAUCAAAAAACUUUUACCCAACAAUUGCAAUCAAAUAGUAUUUGAAUUAGCAAACUAUAUGUUUACCAGAAAAAAAAAAAGCUAGGUAGAUUAGAAUAUGAAUUCCAUAAUUUUUUUUUUCCCCCUCUAAGACCUUUUUGGUCAAGCUAGAGUAUCUGCAGAAAUGCUGCAUGUGUAAAGCUGCUCCAAUGACUCUUUUUUUUUAAAUUUUACUGAAAUUCCGUCCAACAGUUCUUUGCCACAACACAAAAACUGUAAAAUUUAGAGCUUCUGGGGCUAAGAAGCUCAUUGGACCUUCUUACCUCAGAGAAAGAUCUAGAUUGCUUCUUCAUCAAAUGCUCCAUUUGCUGCUCCCAGGAGCAGAGCAACUAUUCUAGAGGCCAUGCCAAGCAGGCACUAAAUAUUUACUAUUUGAUGCACAUUUAUUCAGAAAGCCAAAGAACUAAAAACUAGGUAAAUUAUGCAGACCGGCAAAGUCUUAGGAGCAUACCUUUCCGCCAAGGAUUUUAUCGUCACAAAGAUCUCAUCAGAUGUAUCUGCUCCUCUUACAAUCUCAACCAAUUUCAUUAUAGGAGGAGGGUUCAUAAAAUGCAUGCCUAUCACCUGACAUAAAAAGAAAAGGCUCCUUUCAAAUCUGACAGAAAAAGAAAUGUACUCCAUUUUGAUUCUCAGAAAAGUUUCCUUAUUUACCAUGUUCAUGGUUGAGUAAUCAUAUGGAAAAUGACAAAUUGGAAAUAAGUAGCAGCAGCUACGGAAUAUCAGAAAACUUCUCCAUUAAGUUGUAACUCAGUGAUUCGUCCACUUCGUCCAUUUAAUAUUUAGAUGAGGAUGUCUUAGCAAGUGUCCAUUGAUAGAUAGAAGAUUUAAACGAGAGGUUUAGACUAUUAUUUUAGCAAGUAAACCAGAAGCAGAGUUACAUUUUGUAACAAUUUAAAAUAGAGGAAGUUAAGAGGUUAGAAUUGAUAAACAUAUUACAUUUGCUCAGCUACACGUAUUAAUGAGACAGGAAUGCGGCGCAGGAUGUCUGCUGGACUAAGGCUAAACGGCCCCCAAUAAUAUAGAUAUAGGUUAGAAUCCCAUCGCAUACCUUCAUAGAAAUGCUAAGAAGGUGCCAAAGAAUCAAUUAGCAUUUACAAGAUAUUCAUACAAAUAAAUUACCAUCAACCAGCACAUUCAACGGCAUAGAAUUUAAGGCAAGGAAAACAAAAAACUUAAGCAGUGCCAAGGUAGGCUUAUGUUUGAUGUUCUCUUUGUUUCUAUUUCAUGUUUCUACUAAGAAUAAACCUAUAAUCAAUAAAAGCACUGUCAAGAGCAGGAAUUAAUAUCACAAUAAGCUGAUCUAAUGAAACAAAGGAAUCAACUAAAAAACCUGGGAUGGGCGGCUAGUUGCAGAAGCAAGGCGUGUUAUUGAGAUUGAACUUGUAUUAGAUGCCAGAAUUGCAGAAGCUUUGGAGAUCUUGUCAAGUUCUAUAAACAAUUUCUUCUUUACAUCUUCAGACUCCACAAUGGCUUCAAUUAUGACAUCUGCAUACCGAAGCUCUUGCAAAUUUGAUGUGUACUUCAGACGGCUUAUCGAAUCAUUACCUACAACCUACAAGCAAAUAGAAGCAACCAAAAAUUUAAGAGUGUUAGCUAAUCGGCAAGUGACAUGUUAUGCAACAAAGUUAGGAAGAUGAUAGUUUCUGAUAUUUGUUGUUUUAGCUUCUAAUCUAUUUCAGAAUAGUGACAAACUUCUUCAGGCAGAGUUUCAACUACUAGCGUCCCCACAUAUAAGCUUCAUAAAUGAUACCUUUUACACAAAAUUCUGAGGGAAGCAAUUAGUAACUGCAAGAAGCUCAAUAACUCAAGCAAGCUGUUGAACACUCUGCUUAAAAACUGUUACUAGUCUUUAGAGCAAUUGGAAAGUUGGUUUCACAAUUAAUUCUAUUGGGAGGUAUACACAGUUAGGUCAAUUUUGCAGAUUCAAUCAGAAAGACUUUAGAUAAAACAACAAUAAAAUUUGAAUAUUUCAAGAAACCUUAUUAUGCUGUUACAAUCACGUCAAACACUACUGGAAAAAUGAGAGCAUGAAGACCAAAAUCAUGACAUUCAACCAGUCAAAGACUACCAAAGUCAAUCAACAUGUGCAGCAACUUCUUUAAUAAGGAUAUCACAGCUCUUCUAAUAAACCAAGAAUAUCUCUCUCUUUCUACGAGCAGUGAUCACAAUAGAGCUUUAUUAGAGAAAAGGCUUAAAAAGGUAUACUACCCUUAUGAAUGAAAUCUAUAAGUUCGAGAUUUCUGCCGUAAUAUCUAAUCUAUAAAUUAUAGUUUAAUGUGAAGACACUUUCCAUCUCCUCGUAAUAGUAGUUCAAGCAAUGAAUUGAUUACGUCUUGCAGAAUUGUUCUGCAUUCUGCUUUUCCAUUGGUCAUCAAUCUUAUAUUUACUCGAUUAUAAUCAAUCAAAGAAGCCAGUUAACGAAAAUACAACACAAGGUUAUGUCAACUUACUGAAUGCAGAUUAGAAAGAUAGUGGCUAGUCCAUUCACACCUAUUUUGCAUGUCCCCAACAGAAACAUGUGUACAAAUUAUUUAACAGAUGCUAGAGAUUGAAGCUAUAUGAAAACAAAGUGGAUAUUGGACAUAUCCACAAUCGCUCAUUGAUAUAUACAAAAGGGGGAAAAAAAAUCCAACAUAACUUUAUAUUUACCACACUGAAGGAAUCAAUAGAGAGGAAAAAAAAAAUUUGCGAGCAAUAUAGUAACACAGACAUUUUUAUUUAUGAUGUUAAACUACUAAAUGGGAAAAUUAUACGUCCGCGAACUUCUGGUUCAAGUUGCACUAGUCCCUGAACUUCUGGUUUAAGCUUUACUUUAAUACUCAGACUUCUAAGUUAGUCAUUCGGCACCUGUUGCAUCCUCUCAUCCAUGCACCACGAACCCAUCGGGUCUCCAUCCAUUUAAUACAUGCAAUAUCUAGAGAAGAUGUGGAUGCUAAGGACUAAAAUAUCAAAAGUGAUCGAGGAAUGAUAGAUGCGUGGUAAAAAAAAUAAAAAAUGUACAAAUGCACCAGGUGCAGGUUAUAGUUUCUCCUCUAAUAUUGUUAUGCUCUAUUUGGAUGAGGAGAAUAAUAAAGAAUGACAACAAAGUAAGAGAGAAGAUAAGAAAGAAAAAUGGAUUGAUUUCUCUUGUUAUGUUUUGAUGGAUGGUAGAGAAGGAAAAAAAAGGAGUUUUUGAUAGAGUUAUCUUUCUUUUUCCCUCUUUUUCCACUUCCAAGAGAAAAUAAAUCGACUGCUGUGGAAAGUUAUUUCCUUUUUUUUUUUUUUUCUCUCUCCAUUUCUCCACCUUUCUUCCAUCAAGUUUGAUUCUAAACUAGAGAAAAACAACUUUCUCAUUUUAUUUUAUUUUAUUUUCUCUUUCUCUUCAUCCAAACAGAGAGAGGAAAAAAACUAUCAAAUGUUCAAAAACCUAAGGCUGUGUUUGGACAUACGAAUAAAAUAUUCAACAAUAUUUCAUUCGGUAUAUAGAUUUUCUUGUGUGAUUGAUUGGAUCAUAGGAGUUUGAUUUUCUUUGCUCCUUGAACGGUUGUGGCAUCUUUGAUUUGGUAGGAUAGCAUAUUUACCUUCUGAAUAGAUGAUUUGAAGGCCGAAUAUAAUAUUUAUUCUAGACAUUCGAUGACACUUCUCAUCUACCAAAUAUUACAUGCUUCUGGAGUAAAUCGAAGGGAUUACAUGAAUAAGACGUUCGUGCAUCCAAACAUGAUCUUAAAAAUUUGAGAUCAGCGGUGCAAUUUACCCAAUUCUACACAUAUGAAAACAAGGCUCAGGCCCAGAUCUUUAAAUUGCAAAUUUCCAAAUUAAUUUCCCUAAAAGGGGUGUUUGCUUCCUCAAAAAAGCAAGAAAAAGGUGAUAUGUGGCGAUGGAUUGGGGCUCACUAAUGAGGCAUCGUUGUAGAAGUUUUUUUUUUUUUUUUUUUUAAAAAAAAAAAAAAAAAAGAAGGUUACGUAUAUGCUUCAUUAAUUUAAAUUUUUAGGGUUAGGAUUAAUGUUGCACUAGAAGUGCAUGGGAUGGGGGUUUUCUUAAUUAAGUAAUAAUUACCCGGUUAAUUAAUUAGAGGGGUUAAUAUUUUCCUAUGGGCCCAUUAUAUAUAUAUAUAUGCCUUUUGUUUUUGAAUUUACGUAGCCCACCCUUGCAAGUUUCGAAGUGCACUUACUUUGAAGUUGGCUUCGGAUCACAUAAUGAGAGAUGUACAAUUAUAACUAAAUGUACAAGUGUUGAAAUGUUCGUGGAUGCAGUGAAACUUACACAGCAUUCCUAAUUAAUUAAGAUUGGUUAGGCAGGAUCCUUUAAUUUCCUUUUGAAGCUCUCUCAUAGAAUACUUAUGCCUCAAAGAGAGUGCAAAAGGAUACAAUACUUUGGCCUCAAAGAGAACGCAAAACAUAUUUAGCAAAACAAAUUUAGUAUUGUAUUAAUUGUUGCUUCAAAAGACGAGCUUUUGUGUUCAUAAAAUAACAUUUGUUUUGUGAAAAAGAAAGGCGUUUUUUAUAAUUGAUUUGUCACCACUAUACUCCACGUAGCUACUUGCAACACUAUCAGAAUAGCUAAAUUACACGCUUGCACGAAAGAAACGAAUCAACUCAUGCAUGAAACAAACCAAUUAGCUCGUCUGAUGCAGGUUAAGUUCAAUGAAUAGUUUGCACGUUAAUUUACCCUAGAUUUGCUGCGCAUCUCAAGUCACCUAGAUUUGUACACAUCUCGAUCGAGUCACCAAGUUCUGUUGCACAUCUCAAGUCACCUUUUUUUUUUUUUUUAAACCUUCGUUCAAGGGGCGGCUAACCGGAUUCACCAAAUCCAAGUUAAAUGAACCAACCAAACAAUUUGGUUUAGUUAAGUAAAACCUAAAAAAAAUUACUUAAGAAUUCAAAGCUGAAUUAUAAAACUUCGAGCACGAAGCGCAGUGCAUGUUCUGCAGUGAUUAGGAGGAGAGAGCAGUUAAUUAGAGUUUGUAUAUUGUUAAUUAGACAUGAAAUCUUAGAGAUAGAUCGAUAUUGCCUCGAAGGAUGCCCUCGCGUAGCUAGAAAGGCAAUCAACUGCACACGGAGAAUCAUCGACAAGGGCCCUAGCUAAUUUGCGAGAAUUCAGGCUAUUGACUUGAAAAUAUUUUAGCCGAUCGGUCUUUGAUCAAAUCAAAGAAGUUAGUGAGAAAGCUAAAGGAAAAUUAACAAAGAGAAGAAUAAUUAAGUACCAUUAAGAGUUCUAAGCUUAAAAUGAGGGGACCUUUGUCAACUAUGUAAGGAACAUGCGUGUACUGUGUCUAAUUAGGAGUUCACACUUGCAAAUCAAAGUCAAGUACAUACGUGACAGGGGAUUAAAACUUUUAUAUAUAUAUAUAUANNNNNNNNNNNNNNNNNNNNNNNNNNNNNNNNNNNNNNNNNNNNNNNNNNNNNNNNNNNNNNNNNNNNNNNNNNNNNNNNNNNNNNNNNNNNNNNNNNNNNNNNNNNNNNNNNNNNNNNNNNNNNNNNNNNNNNNNNNNNNNNNNNNNNNNNNNNNNNNNNNNNNNNNNNNNNNNNNNNNNNNNNNNNNNNNNNNNNNNNNNNNNNNNNNNNNNNNNNNNNNNNNNNNNNNNNNNNNNNNNNNNNNNNNNNNNNNNNNNNNNNNNNNNNNNNNNNNNNNNNNNNNNNNNNNNNNNNNNNNNNNNNNNNNNNNNNNNNNNNNNNNNNNNNNNNNNNNNNNNNNNNNNNNNNNNNNNNNNNNNNNNNNNNNNNNNNNNNNNNNNNNNNNNNNNNNNNNNNNNNNNNNNNNNNNNNNNNNNNNNNNNNNNNNNNNNNNNNNNNNNNNNNNNNNNNNNNNNNNNNNNNNNNNNNNNNNNNNNNNNNNNNNNNNNNNNNNNNNNNNNNNNNNNNNNNNNNNNNNNNNNNNNNNNNNNNNNNNNNNNNNNNNNNNNNNNNNNNNNNNNNNNNNNNNNNNNNNNNNNNNNNNNNNNNNNNNNNNNNNNNNNNNNNNNNNNNNNNNNNNNNNNNNNNNNNNNNNNNNNNNNNNNNNNNNNNNNNNNNNNNNNNNNNNNNNNNNNNNNNNNNNNNNNNNNNNNNNNNNNNNNNNNNNNNNNNNNNNNNNNNNNNNNNNNNNNNNNNNNNNNNNNNNNNNNNNNNNNNNNNNNNNNNNNNNNNNNNNNNNNNNNNNNNNNNNNNNNNNNNNNNNNNNNNNNNNNNNNNNNNNNNNNNNNNNNNNNNNNNNNNNNNNNNNNNNNNNNNNNNNNNNNNNNNNNNNNNNNNNNNNNNNNNNNNNNNNNNNNNNNNNNNNNNNNNNNNNNNNNNNNNNNNNNNNNNNNNNNNNNNNNNNNNNNNNNNNNNNNNNNNNNNNNNNNNNNNNNNNNNNNNNNNNNNNNNNNNNNNNNNNNNNNNNNNNNNNNNNNNNNNNNNNNNNNNNNNNNNNNNNNNNNNNNNNNNNNNNNNNNNNNNNNNNNNNNNNNNNNNNNNNNNNNNNNNNNNNNNNNNNNNNNNNNNNNNNNNNNNNNNNNNNNNNNNNNNNNNNNNNNNNNNNNNNNNNNNNNNNNNNNNNNNNNNNNNNNNNNNNNNNNNNNNNNNNNNNNNNNNNNNNNNNNNNNNNNNNNNNNNNNNNNNNNNNNNNNNNNNNNNNNNNNNNNNNNNNNNNNNNNNNNNNNNNNNNNNNNNNNNNNNNNNNNNNNNNNNNNNNNNNNNNNNNNNNNNNNNNNNNNNNNNNNNNNNNNNNNNNNNNNNNNNNNNNNNNNNNNNNNNNNNNNNNNNNNNNNNNNNNNNNNNNNNNNNNNNNNNNNNNNNNNNNNNNNNNNNNNNNNNNNNNNNNNNNNNNNNNNNNNNNNNNNNNNNNNNNNNNNNNNNNNNNNNNNNNNNNNNNNNNNNNNNNNNNNNNNNNNNNNNNNNNNNNNNNNNNNNNNNNNNNNNNNNNNNNNNNNNNNNNNNNNNNNNNNNNNNNNNNNNNNNNNNNNNNNNNNNNNNNNNNNNNNNNNNNNNNNNNNNNNNNNNNNNNNNNNNNNNNNNNNNNNNNNNNNNNNNNNNNNNNNNNNNNNNNNNNNNNNNNNNNNNNNNNNNNNNNNNNNNNNNNNNNNNNNNNNNNNNNNNNNNNNNNNNNNNNNNNNNNNNNNNNNNNNNNNNNNNNNNNNNNNNNNNNNNNNNNNNNNNNNNNNNNNNNNNNNNNNNNNNNNNNNNNNNNNNNNNNNNNNNNNNNNNNNNNNNNNNNNNNNNNNNNNNNNNNNNNNNNNNNNNNNNNNNNNNNNNNNNNNNNNNNNNNNNNNNNNNNNNNNNNNNNNNNNNNNNNNNNGCGAAGAUAAAUCGUCGUCGGAGGCGGCAGAAAAUGAGGGAGAGGGAGAGAUGAGAAGGGCGGGGAAGGGCGAGAGGCGUCGUCGUCGGAGACGGUGGAGAAGAGUCGGAGAAGAAAAGAAAAGAAAAAAAGCAAAAAAAAAAAGUCGCGGCACGGCCUUGGCGGGGUCGGAGAGGCGAGGAAGGUGGGGGGUGCAUGGACGAGGGCAAGGGCGAGGGCGAGAGCAUGAGGGUGAGAGGCGAGACGGACCGUUUCUACCUCCGCUCCGCCUCCGCUCUACCGGCGAGAAAAAAAAAAAGAACGAGAGAAACGAAGAAAAGAGAGAAAGAGGAAAGAGAAAAAGUAAUAAGGGUAUUUUGGUCAGUUUGCUGAAAAAGCGGACCGAAUCUACAAAAAUAAAAAAGGUGGCCCGAUUUUGCAAAAGCCCAAAAUAAGUGGAUUUUUUAUGCAAAUUGGCCUUAAUUUUUUUUAAAAAAUAAUUAUAAAAAUAGACUUUUAAAUACGGUGAAUAAUUCACCGCAUUCAUAAGUCCUCAUUAGAAAUAGAAAAAAAUAAAAACGGUGAACCAUUCACCGCUUUUACCAUCGUAGAUAUAUAUAAAAAGUGAGAAAAAGAACCAUUCACCGUUUUUAAAAGCGGUGAAUGAUUCACCGCUUUUAUAGGACUAUAUUUACAAAUAAAAAUUUAACAGUUUUAUUUUUAAAAUAAAAAUUUAGGAAAAGACUAUUGCACUAAAAAAUCCUAUCUAUUCUGUGCUAAUUAUAUUUUUUUCUAAAAAAAUUGCAAAACAAAUAUUUUUCUAAAAAUUUGGAUAUAACACUCAAAUUGUCCCACAACCCAUGAAUAAAGAAUUAUGAUUUCAUAUAUAAAAAAUCUUCAGAUUUAUAAUAAGGGGAUACUUCAAAUAACCCCUGUGAUUUUGCAUUUUCUCACUUUAGUACCCUAUGGUUUAAAGUGUAGCAAGUUAGUACCCUGUGGUUUCGCACUUUCUCACUUUAGUACCCUGUGGUUUCAAGUGUAUCAAAUUAGUAUCCUGUGGUUUUAUUUUUGUCUCAAGUUAGCACCUUGUGGUUUCAAUUUUCUCUUUUUAUUAUUCAUUUCAGGGUAUAUAAUUUAACAAAAUAUUAAACCACAUGGUGCUAAAACGAGAAAGUGUGAAACCAUAAGGUACUAACUUGAUACACUUGAAACCACAGGGUACUAAAGUGAGAAAGUGCGAAACCACAGGAUACUAACUUGAUACAUUUUAAAUCACAGGAUAUUAAAGUAAAAAAGUGCGAAACCACAAGGGAGGUAUUUGAAGUUUUUCCUAAUAAUAAUAAUUAAAUUUAAAUAUUUUGGGCCAGAAACAAAUACAACAUAUACAUAAUAAUAAUAUUUGUACAUUUCAAAUCUACCAUCUGUUGGACUACCGUAUUGAGUGCAAGAAAUAACUUAGAUAUAAAAAAAGACUACAUAAAAUUUAGAGACUAAUUAAAAACCUUAUUAAGAGUUUCGGAUCUUAAAUAUCGAAAUUAAAAGUUUGAGUACCAAAAUUUAACCUCACUCAAAGUUUAGGGACUACUAGUACUGCAAUUUUCCCAAAAACAUCACAAUGAAGAUUACCAUAUCUGGUUGAAUCCAAGCAUUUAUUGCUUUUGUAUAUAGUUCCUUUAUAUAUAUAUAUAUAUAUCAGUAUAAAUUCACAUAGUCACUUUAGUCACAAGCUACUUAGAUACUGAAGAGGUGGAGGUUCUUGCUUCUUGAGAUGAAGACAAUCCUAUCCCUUUUGCUGCUAAUGAUAUUUGUAUCAACUUCUAGUAUAUAUAUCUCUCUCAUUUACUGCUUCCCUUCUCUCUUUUCAGUAAAUUUUUUAACCUACUUGCUUAUUUUGAUAUGAUCUUCCUAUUUAUCAACUACUCAUAGCUGCCAUAUUAUAGUUGAUUUUUCACAUCUUGCUAGAAAAAUUUCAUGGAAACAAAUUAAAUAGUUGAUUUUUCUAAAAGGUUUGGGAUUUAAUCGCAUCCCACUAUACCAUACUUCUGUAUAAUUUUUAUUUAUCAUGACAUUAUUUUUCUUUCUAAAAAACAAUCAAACUGUUAUCUUUUUAUCAAUCUCUAUAUUGUACUUUACAUUUAUUUUUAUUUGCUACUCUGAAUCAUUUUCUUUUUUCAAUGGCAUCAUUAAACUAUUAUUGUAUACAUACAACAAUCUUUAUACUAUUGGCAAUAAAUCUAUUGUUUUGAAUAAAAGCUAACUAAUGUCUUAAAAGGUACUAGUUAAAUAAUAAGAAGAAAGCAAAAAUGUCCUCCAAGACAGAUUUAUUGCAAGAUUUAAUUAGCUGAGUUGUUUUCAACUAUUAAUUUUUUGCUAUUUUUAGAUAUUUUAUUUUUUUUCCUUGUCAAAAUUGGCCAAAUAUACGCUAUGCAACAUACUUCAAAAUAGUGUUUUAACGAAAUUGUUAGGUCCCACCUAAAUUAUAGGUUUACUACAGUGAGCAUAUGGAUUUAUAAAAAACGACAAUUUAAUAGUAUUUUUGCAAUAUAUAUAUAUAUAUAUAGUGUAGAGCUACUAUACUAUCGAAAGUAUAAGAGAAUUGAUGUUUCCGACUUCUUAGCCCUUGGAUCAAGAAUUGUAGGAUCGGAAUAAUAGUGGAGUGGUCCUUCUAAAAUAAUAAUAUUAAUUUAAAUAUCAGAAAUAGUCAAAGGGUUGAUUUAAGGACUAAAAAGUUGGAAGUAUAUAUAUGCUUUCGAAAGUAUAGUAGCUCUACUCUCUCUCUCUCAAUCUAAAGAUCAGAAAUAAUCAAAGGGUUGAUUUAAGGACUAAAUAGUUGGAAGUAUAUAUAUACUUCUGAAAGUAUAGUAGCUUUACCCCUCUCUCUCUCUCUCUCUCUCUAUAUAUAUAUAUAUAUAUAUAUAGUAUAGGAAAACAAAAAAUAUCCUAAAUUAUAAGGCUUAAUUAGUUCAAUUAACUAUGCUUAGGUGUAAUGUAUUUUUAAAAAAACUAUGCUUAGGUGCAAUAUCUCCUACUUCAAUGAAAUUUAAGAAAAGAAAGUUAAUGGAUAGCAAUACAAUAAACUUUGUUUAUCUUUAAGGCAUACAUAAAGUCUCGCCAUUUUCUAAAAUAAAAAAGAGGGAGUUCACGGGCAGUCCCUCAACUAUUUUGAUAUUAUUAUUUAGUUUGAGAACUUUCACUUAAGUGUCUUUGUCCUUUAAAAUUCUCUAAUAUAUUACAAUCUUAUUUUUAAUGUUUAAAAAAUUCUCAUGUUUGUUAAUUCAUUUUCUCAACAUGCAAAUUUUUGAUAUAAAAAAUAAUAAAAGUUAUCUUAAGGGCAGGAGAAACAGUGCAACAAGAGAAAAAACAGUGCAACAAGAGGAGAAGCAGUAUAAAUAUCUCUUAAAUGGGUGCAGUUUAAGAUAAAUGGGUGCAAUUUUUUCUUGUUGCACCAUUUCUCCUCUUGUUAUACUGUUUUUUAUUUUAAACUACACAUCUUUAAUAGAUAUUUAUACUGCUUCUCCUCUUGUUGCACUGUUUCUCCUAUUGUUGCACUGUUUCUCCUCUUUAAAGAGGAGAAACAGUGCAACAAGAGNGCCGGGCAUGCGGUAGAAAGAAGUUAGAAUGAAAGGACUGUCAGUUAUCUGCCUAAGUUUUGUUCAUGCUUUGGAGGGGAGAGUACCCAAUUAUGUAGCCAAGUUAUAUGCUUGUUCUUGGUGAGAAAGAACCCUAUACAUUUUGCAUUUUGAAUGUGUGAAUUGAUGGCAUAACAAAUUUUCUCUCUCUCUCUCAUCUUUCUGAAAUUAACUCUUUUGAUGAGAAAGAAUUUUAAGCAGGUCAGACGGAUCAUAAUAAGUCAUCUAAGUGGUAAAAAAUCUUAAAAGUUGAGAGAUACAGUCGUACGUAUGACUCCAUUAGCCCAAACCUAGUUGUAAAGAGCAAACAGAAGAAGUAAUUUGUAUGAUGCCUCGAUAGUUCCACAUUGGAUAAUAUGACAGAGUGACACAUUAAUAGAACUAAUAACUUGGGUUAUUUUGGAUCAAUGAUUUGAGCUCAAUAAAUUAUUAGUGCCAGUGAGUUUGGUCAUUAUAAUUGGUAUCAGAGAUGAUUCACCAGCCGAAAUUGUAAGGUGAGUCUCAUAUUGUCUGGUGAUCUUCGGCUGUAUGUUUAAUUAGGUUGAUAAGGAUGAGUCCCAUGUUGGAUGACGUGGGAAAGUGUGAGGAACUUAGAUAUAAGAAGCACAUUAGAACUAUUAACCAAACAUAAACAUUUUAUGCAAACUGAUAUGUUAACUACAAGAUCAAUCUUAGUAGGAAAUGAGUGAGCACAUCGUGCAUAUGAUGGAUAUAGAAAGACAAGCGGAAUUGAUAGGUGAGAUACAUAGGAGAUGGAUGGUUUAACCUAUUAUAUAAUGCAUAAUUUAAGCCCUUAUAUAUCAAAGAUAGUGAUUAAAUUCAUGACCCAACCUCCCGCCAUUUCGAACAUGACUCGCACCAAUCUGGCCUCCCGUUACUGGGCAAGAUGCUGGUUUCUUUUAAGCCAACAAAUUAUACCACAUGAAAUGUAAAUUCCGUAUGAAACAUUAAUUGAAGGUUUUGUAGAAAUUGAUUAUACAAUGAAAUGGCUUUUCAGGAUAUUUAGCAAUACAUCAGCAUUCGAUGAACUCAAUUGAACAUUGAGACUUAAUUAUAAUAAUCUAAAAAAUUUGAGUGAGAACUUACAACAAAACAAAGUUUAGGGACCAAUUAAUGUUUAGCCCUUUCUAAAAAGGAAAUUCUCUUUCCCUUUUUCUAUUUUAACUAACAACUUAACUGAGAGUCAAAAGUAGAUGCAAGUACAUGCCACAAAUCUUUCAUAUUCUCACUAUUAAAUAUCAUAUCUCACCAUUACCAAGGAUAUUCUUAUUAUUGCAAAGAACAGUGAAUCUCUAUUAAUGCAUCUGGUGAGUAGCAACAUUAAAUGCACCUCAUUCAAUUACCACAUUAAAUUUUCCCCACACUUUGAGCAUUUUAUUAAUAUAUAAAGGACUCUCCAAAUAUUGUGAAAUAUGCAUGAGUGUGAGUGUUACUUAAACAUGGACAGAAGAAGUGUGCCAGUUAUCUUCGUGUGCUUGUUGAUGGUCUCUUUCACCAUUGGUAGGUAUUUAUUGGGUCUCUAAAGGAGCCUAUAUACUUCAUUUUUGGGUGGUACUUAGGAGUGCUAAUUAAUUGUUCUUCAUAAAAAAGGAAAAUUUUUUUUUUACCGGUAGUUAUAACACAGUUUCACUUUGUCAUAUUGUGGUUCAGAAAGUUGUUCUUACAGAUUGAUCUUCCGUUUAAUAGAAUAGCAAAGUGAUGCUUUUCGAAAGGGUAAACUUCAUAUCCCCCCACGAGAUGAUAAAGUGAAAAUAAAUUAAACUACAAGAGAACAAAGUGAAACCUUUUGAAUUACAAGGUGACAUAACAAAAAUGACCUAAACCUAGACCUGGCAAUCACGACUCAAAUCCGCGGGUGCCUACGGGUUACCCGCAAAUUUGCAGGUAUGGGUACCAACUUUUCCAACCAAAAGAAUUAUGGGUAAAACGGAUGUGUACCCAUUAAGCUGUGGGCAUUUUGGGUAACCCACGAGUACCCACACACAUAUAUUUUAAUUACAAAAUCUAUUUUCUUAAUAUAUAUAUAUAUAUAUAUAUAUAUAUAUAUAUAUAUAUAUAUAUAUAUAUAUAUAUAAUGUAUUAUUAUGAAUUCCGAAAAAUUAGUUAAAAGUAGUGUUAUUUACACUUUGUCCAACCUGAAUGUGAUACAAAACACUCAUUUUUCUUGAUCAUUUUUUGACAUAUUUUCAGUCCAAGAACUACUAGAUAGUUUUGAAUAGGGUAAGCUUUAAUUUGUCCUCCAGUGGUUUAGUUCUUUUUUUUUUCAUACUAAGGUUUAAAAAUUACAUUUAACUAUUCUGUAAUUUAUCGUUAUUUUUACCUAAAAAAUUCACUAUCAAAUAAGGUAGCAAAUAAAUUUUUUUAUAAUCAUAUAAUAGUUAGAUAUAACUUUUGCACCGCACAUCUAUUUUUCUACUACAUUAAAGAAGGAUUUGGGAGACCAAAGGAUGACAUGUGUCCCCCCAAACCCCCCUUUACUCUCUCUCCCUCUAUAUAUAUAUAUAUAUAUAUAUAUAUAUAUAUAAAAUUUAAAAUUUUGAUACUUUCAAAUUUUAAAAAUUUAAAAUUUAAAUUUAAUUUAUNUAUUUAAAUUUUAGGAGUAAAAUUUUAGAAAUAUAGUGUAUUUCUGUUUAUAUAUAAUUAAUGUUAUUAAACAAUUUCUUUUACAAUUUUAAUUUUCCUCUAUUUAUUGAUUUUUUAAAAAUUAUUUUGAUAGAUUUGAUCUCAAAUCAUUUUCAUAUAAAUAUUUAUAAAAUAUAUUGUUGUAUAAAUUUACUUUGCACAUAUGCCAAUUUUAAUGACUUUUAUUUAAAUAAAUUUACUGAUUAAAUUAUUUUUAUAUAUCUUUUAUUUAAUUAAUAAUUAGACUUAUAAAAUUAUAUAAAAAUAUAAAAAAAAGUAAAAUUUAUUAUAAAAUUAUUUUUAUAUCCGCAGUAUCGCGCGAAUAUUUCACUAGUAGAGUAGUAAAGCACAAUUUCUUGAACCAUAUGCUACUUGAAAAUGAGUUAAAUCAUGGGUGGGCAAAUUAAAAUUUAUAGUUUUUCACAUGAGCGAUAUUAAAUAUCCAUUAUAGCAUCUAUAUCUAUAUAAAUAUAGAAUCGAGAGUAUGUACGGUGGGCUCCCCGCGUUUUGCGGGGGACUCGCGAGAGAGAGAGAGAGAGAGGGAGAGAGAGAGAACAGAGGGAGGAGGGAGAUGAGAAACAGUAGAGGGGAGGUGAGAGAAGGCCUACAGAUGAAGAGGUAGGAGAUGGAAGAGAGACCAACCGGGAGAGAGGAAGAGAGAAAGGAAGAGAAAAUGAGAGAGGAAGGGGGGGGCCUGCGUGCAGGCGACUCGCCGCCCGCCAGCACACGCGGAGAGGAGAAGAGGGAAGAAAGAGGAGCAGAGCGCGAGCCCGAACCACCAUAAGUGGUGAAGAGAAAGGAAGAGGGGAGGGAGGGGGGCGGGACGGGGGGGGAGAGAGUGAGAUGAUGGAGAGAGAGUACAGCUGUGAAACGAAAACGAGAGGAGAGAGAGCAGACAGAUUCUCUCUCUCAUCUCUUAGCGGGCGCAGGGGGUGCGGGCCGCACCGCAUGGCGGCACCUAGCUCCCUGGCUUCUCUCUCUCACUCUCUCUCCCUCUUCACACUCAGUCCCCCCUUCUCUCUCCCUCUCCCCAUUUCUCUCUUCCCCCUCCUCCCCUCCCGCGGGCUCUCUCUCCCCUUUUCUCUCUCACGCCACGUUGCGCCGCGACCCGCCGCAAACGGGUUGCGCGCGGCGCGGGCCACGUGGGGAGGUGCGGGCGACCCGCAACCCCUGCGGCCGACAUGCGCGAGCUCUCCCCCCCACCUUUUAUACCUCUCCUCCCCCCAGGACUCUCUCCACUCUCCUACCCCUCUCCCCCUCUUUUUCUUCCUCCCCUGCUCUCUCUCUCUCGUCCCUCUCCCCGCGCUGGGCGGGGGAGGCAGGGAGGCGGAGUGCGGCGCGGGGCGAUCGGGGGGACGAUGGCGCUGGCGACUGGGCGCGGGCGCGGCGCGGGGCGAGGGCUGGUCAUCCCGGUGGCGAGCGGGACCGAGCGGUAGGGCCGGCUCGCGCGGGGCGGCGAUCGCGAGGGCGCGGGGGCGGGGUGCGUGAAGGGCGCUGAGCGUGGCCGCUUCGCAGCGAACGCGGGCAGAAGAGGGAGAAAGCAAACAGAGAAGCAUGAGAGAGAGUGACCGGCAGAGGCGGUUGGAGAGGAGAGAGAGAGAGAGGAGGAGAUAGACGCGGAAGGAAAUAUAUAUAUUAUAUAUAUAUAUAGUAUAUAUAUAUAUAUAUAUAUAUUUAUUAUAUAUAUCUUAUUAUAUAUAUAUAUAAUUUUAUUUAUUAAUUAUAUUAUAUAUAUAUAUUAUAUUUAUCUAUUAAUAUAGUAUAAUAUAUAUAUUUAGUUUAUAAAUAUAUAUUUAUCUAUUAUAUAUAUAUAUAUUUAUUUAUAAAUAUAUUAUAUUAUAUAUAUAUUAUAUAUAUAUAUAUAUAUUAGUAUAAUUUAUUUGUAAUAUAUAUUUGUUUACUAUCUUAUUAUAAUUUUAUUUAUAAAUAUAUAUUUAUUUUUAUAAGUUUUGUAUUUAUAAUAUAUAUUAUUAUAUAAUAAUUUAUUAUAUAAUUUACUAUUUAUUUUUUUAAAAUAUUUCUUUUCCCCCCUCUUUUCUUCUUUUUUUUUGAUAUUAUCUUUUUCUUUACCCUUUUUCCCCUUUUCCUCCCCUGUUCUAAAUUAUUUUUAUUUGUAUAAUUGCGGAUCAUGUACAAAAAAAAUAAAAAUUAAAUUUAAAAUUUAAAAUUUAAAUUUUUAUAUAAAUUUCCCGCAGCGUAGCGCGGGCCUUCACUAGUUCUAAUAAUUCCUGAGUACCUGUGAUGAGAAUGGGAUUAAAUGUUGAAUAGUUUCAACACAUAUUCGUGCAAAUUUAAUAAAAACAUACUAUUUUGAUGGACUUUUUUCAUUUUGUUUUUCAAAAGAUUGAUAUAGGAGGAAAUGAGUGUUAAUUUGGGAAAACUUCAAAUAUCCCUCAUGUGGUUUCGUAUUUUUUUAUUUUAGUACCAUGUGGUUUGAAGUGUAUCAAGUUAGUACUCUGUGAUUUCGCACUUUCUCACUUUAGUACCUUGUGGUUUAAAGUAUAUCAAGUUAGUACUCUGUGAUUUUAUUUUUGUAUCAAGUUAGUACCCUGAAGUUUUAUUUUUAUAUCAAGUUAAUAGUACCCUGUGAUUUUUAAACCACAAUGUACUAAAGUGAGAAAGUGCGCAACUACAGGGUACUAACUUGAUAUACUUUAAACUACAUGGUACUAAAGUGAAAAAGUGCAAACCCACAGGGUACUAACUUGAUAAAAGUGCAAACCCACAGGGUACUAACUUGAUACACUUUAAACCACAGGGNCCCACAGGGUACUAACUUGAUACACUUUAAACCACAGGGUACUAAAGUGAAAAAAAGUGAAACCACAAGGGGGAUUUUUGAAGUUUUUCCAAAAAUUUAUAUUAACAUUCUUAUUCAAGUGAAUAAUAAAUAUAGAAAUAUAUAAAAUUGAUAGAUGAGAUAAGGGAUAGAGAUUUAAUUUAUAUAUCAGGACUUAAUAUAAUAAAGUAGUUUUCGCAUUAACUCUCACACUAUACUAUCCAAAACUACCGCUCACGUGGAUGGACAAACCACCGGUCCAAAAUGUUCAAACCCACUUAUUAUUACUAGCGUGUGAGGCCAAUCUAAUGUGGGACUAUUGAGGCAUUAUAAACUCUCCUUGUUUAGACUAUGAUGUUCUUGUCGGGUCCAAACUAAAUCACAGAUGUAGACCAGAAUUACCAGGCGAUGUGAGAUUCUAGAGGUGGCUCCCGCCAAACCCGUUGGUGUAGCAUUUUGCCCCGUAUAGUACUUAGCUCUCACACUUUUGGCUGGUAUUCGGCUCUGCUACCAAUUAUAACGACCCAACCCGUUAGCAACAAUAACUCGUUAGGCCCAAUCCAUCGGCCGAAAAUGCUUAAAUUUUUUCAUCUGAUAUGGGACUACUGGGGCGUUACAAACUCCCCUGUUUAAAUCUUUACAUCUGAAGCAACCACCAGUGACCUGUCUGCAGUCCAAAUCCUUAUGUGAUCCGCCACAAACUAAACAUUUCGACUUCUGAUCCCGAUUUCAUGGUCCACCAUGAGGAGCUGGCGUAUUACGCGACCUCCCAGAGUCAUUAUAUCUGUUUGAUUCUCUUGCAUUCCGAUCCUUUUUUUGUGAAAGAAUUUUUAAUCUUCUUCUAAUUUGUAUUUUGCUCAUUCCGAGUUUGCCUCCAAACUGAAUCCAAGGAUUUCACUCUGGAAACGGCCUCCUCGUAUGUCUCUAGGUAUAGUAGUGCGAGACCAGUGUGAAUAUGUCCUUUCAGUCCUUCCUUGAAUCUCUUGGCUCGCAACUCAUCAUCAUCAACUAGUUUCGGGGCGAAGUGGGAUAGUCGGUCAAACUCAGUCUCAUAUUCCUCCACAGACAUCAAACCCUGCUUCAAAUCCAAAAAUUGCCUCCUAAGCUAGUGAAGCUUAUUUGAAAAAUACUUAGCAUAAAAUGCUGAUCGAAAAUCCUUUCACGAAAGAGGUGCUAAAUCAUUCUCGUAGGUUCUCAACUUGCUUUCCCACCAAUAGUUUGCAUUGCCUUGAAGCAUGAAUGCCCCGAUUCUAACUUUCUCCUCAUAGGUGCACUACAUAGCCAUAAAUGCCUUCUCCAUCUUUUUGAUCCAUGUUUUCACUUUGUUCGGAUUUGUAGUGCCUAAAAAAGGGUGGAGAAGCAGAUUUCUUAAACUCAUUGAUGCUCCUCUCUCAAACUCUGGAACUCGACUCAGCAGCACAAGGAGUGGGAUUUUGUUGCAAAUUCUGUUGCUGAGUUUGAACAAGCCCAACAAUAGCUUGUAUCAAGGUAGCGACCAGGGGAUCCAUCGUGGUGCUCUGCGGUAAAAUAGCGGAAUGGGCUGGCAUAGUGGUUUGUAAUAGAGGCAGAACAAAACUGGGAAGAGUAGUCGGCGGCAAAAACGGGAUAACAGUAGGAAUAAUUGUCGAAGGCAUCCCUGUACCAGUAGCCUACUGCAGAGGUGGAGCAAAAGCCAAAUGGUUUGUAUGAGGCACUACAGUCGAUUGCAACAAAUUCUGCAUAGUAACCGAAAUAGUAGUCUGAGGCGGAACCAUUGCUAAGGAUAUAGCAUUCAAAAGUGAGGCCAAUGUGGCAUUCAAAUCUGGAUCUUCGGAUUCGAUGGGAGGUGGGUUCCUCGGUAGUUCAUUGUUGGUAUUGCUAUGGUGGGACGGACGCACCAUCUCAGCAAAAGAAAGGAUCACAAACACAUAAAUACGGGAUGUUAAUGGAAACCAUAAAACAAUAAUAAAAGAAAUUCAAAUAUACGCUUACUUCUAUCCAUCAUCACACCUCCUAAUAAGCUCUCAAAGUCCUAUAUUUUAAAAGUUCCUUGAGAUCUUGAAUUCAAGAGGUGGCUCCCACCAAAUUUGUUGGUGUAGUACUUUGUCCCGCAUAGCAUUUAGCUCUUACACUUCUGGCUGGUAUUCAGCUCUGAUACCAAUUAUAACGACUCGACCUGCUAGCAAUAAUAACUCGUUAAGCUCAAACCAUCGACCCAAAAUGCUUAAGCCUAGUUAUUAUUACUAGCGUGGAGGUUUCAUAUAUUCUAAUUAGAAUCAUUUUUCCAUCCGAUGUGUGAUUAUUGGGACGUUAAAACUAAGCUCUUGAUUAACUUUGGUAUUAGAUAUAACCUGCCAAGUUAUGAUCAUGCAUCUUAUAUAUGGUCGAGAGAUGUUUCACAAAUAUAGCAUUUUGAAGAAUUUAAGUGCAUUCAUUCAUUCUCACAUGUAUACUUAUCCAUUUAUUUUUUAUUUUUUUUUCUUUGUUAUUUCACAGCAGAGAUCGUUUGUGUUGACGCGAAGUACUGUUAUCAUUUCAGCACCCAUGAUGAUACUUGUAUAGUCGGAAAAGGAUGCAGACAGGCAUGCAAAAAUGAAGGUUAUGAGUAUGGAAAGUGCCUUCUUUUUGUUGUUUGUCUUUGUUUUAGGAAGUGCUGAAGAAAUAAAAGUGAAUUCUCAGCUCAAACCAAUACAAUAAUGUUAUCACAAGCUGCGCAUGCAACGAUCUGAAUGAGUUGAGAUCAAAUAAAGGUCACCAAGUACUUAAUUAGCUAUGUUUUUCUUCAUUUGUUCUUUUGUGACAUUGGUCAUUGCGCUUGGAUAAUAAAUCAGUUGAAUAAUUUCUUAAUUUGUUGCGGGAUUGAAGUUUCAAUCAUACUUUUUGAAAUAUUUACUUUCAAAAAAAAAAGAAAAAGCUUUCUAGAAAAAUUGAACACAUAUAUAAGGGAAAUGUUAAUCAGUUCAUUUUCACCUUUCAAACUUUGUAAACAAAUGUUUAUCCUGUUAGCUUUUGAUUAACUGAGUUUAUCUAAAUAUCUAGAUCAACCAAGAAUGCUCUUUAAUUGACACCAUGUUUUAAGAUAGAUAUAAGUCCAUAUGCAAACAACAAAAACAAAUGCAAGUGAAAUUACAAAAAAUUGAAACUUAUGAGCCUAAGAUAUAUAUAAUUUUUCAGUAAAAACCAUAGGUAUCAAACUAGCAUGAAACAACUUCACUAUACGUGAUUAAUAAGUGUUCGUGAUUAAUAAGUGUGAAGAGUUGAUUAUACUCGACCAUAUGAUUAUAUAGAUAUUCGAAUCUUUUGACCACACGGCCUGAUUCUGAACACAUAACUCAAAUUUUCGUUUCAUCCUAUUAAAAUACCUGAGAUAUACGAGGAAUAUGGGAUGUGCAGUAAUUAACAUCCUAGAUUCUCACAUUAAUUGGAAAGGAAGGAUGUAGAUCGUUAAGAUCCGAGAGUGAUUAAAAUGAUUCCAUUGUAGAUUUUUGAGAGUAUACAUUUACAAGGAUUUGCGCUAGUACUGUUCUUGAGAUAGAAAUAGACUGUCAGGAAUGAGAAGCUCAAAAAUAACUUACUUAUUAGUCGGAAGAAGGAAGACAUGAGUGGUAUUUGUAGGCUAAACGCAAGUGCACAACACAAAUAGUUUGGAUGCUUGCUGGUGCACAAUUUAGCAUCCUUUUGAUGUGAUAAAGACUAAACAAGAGUAGGGAUGUCAACGACCCGAACACAAGCGAACUCGGUUAUAAGCGAGCCGAACACAAACUUGCUCGUUAAAGUAUCGAGCGAAAAAAUUCAGUUCAUGUUUGGCUCGCUUAAUUAUUAAUGAGCCGAAUACAAGCUAGCUUAUGAAUAAAAAUUUAAAAAAAUUAAAAAAUAUGUAUAUAGAAAAUAAAUUUAUAAGAUCUUACUCAUUAUACUUUGAUCUAAUGAUUGAAAUUUUACAUAUAAAUGAACUAUUUUAUAAUUGAGUUGGACUUUAUAUUUAGAUUGGACUAAAAAUCAAAUAAUAAAAAUAUUAUAUACAUAUAUAAUUAAUUAUUUAUAUAUAUAAAUAUAAAAUAUAUGUAUUCGAGUUGUUAUCGAGCCAAACACGAGCUGGCUCACGAACAGCGAGCUGAAUGGCCACCCUAAACACGAGUCAAGUUAAAAUUAAAGACACAGGUAUUGCAUAUAAAUAUAUACACUUUACACGUUGAUUCAUUUUCACGGAUUCAAACUUUUAUAAAUAGGCCCUAUUUGGUAACAGGAUAUAUUUGGAAUAAUAAAGCAUGUUAUUUUCCAAAUUUUGCCAAACAAACAAGAUUAAAAAUGACAGGAAUAAAUAAUUUCGAUAAUUCUAGCUUAAUCUAGAAUUACCUGUAAAGAAUAAUUCCUCUCAGCCUCUAGAAUAAUCAUAUUGUUGCACAAUUUAAUCCAGGGGGCAGCAAUUGGAAAUGAUGCCUCGCGCGUUCCACACAUGCACCCGACCCGCCUAGCCUCCCCGAAAAAGCUUCGUCUCUCUUCCUCCACUUUAUCUUCUUACCUCUAUCUCUAGCCUCCUUGAAGAGCUCUAUCUCCCUCUCCCUUUCUCUCAUCUUUACUUCGGACUCCUAAACCCUAAUAAUAAUUCUCCCGGCGGGAGAUCAGUGUUUUUUUUCUCCUCUUUAUUCUUCCUUUUUCCUUUGUCUUCACGCCUUACUCAGAACGCAGGGGUUUUUUUGCAAAUAGCCCCCUGACAAUUUUUUUUUUUUAAAUUGGCCCUGUGUAAAAAUUAUUUGCAAAAAUGGCCCUGGCCCCGCCCCGUCAGCGCCACAUCAGCGCCACGCGGGCGGGGCUGGGCCAAGUGUUUAAAUUGAACACGGUGAAUCAUUUACCGUGUUCAAUACAAAAUUUUUGUAUUGGACACGGUGAAUGGUUCACCGUGUCCAAUACAAAAUGAAUAAGUGGGAUAUAUUUGUAUUGGACACGGUGAAUCAUUCACCGUGUUCAAUACAAAAUUUUUGUAUUGGACACGGUGAAUGGUUCACCGUGUCCAAUACAAACACCCACAACUUAGCCAUUUUUGGCUAAGUCGGAUGUAUUUGUAUUGGACACGGUGAACCAUUCACCGUGUCCAAUACAAAAAUCUUGUAUUGAACACGGUGAAUGGUUCACCGUGUUCAACUUAUACAAUUGGCCCAUCCCCGCCCGCGUGGCGCUGACGUGGCGCUGACGGGGCGGGGCCAGGGCCAUUUUUGCAAAUAAUUUUUACACAAGACUAUUUUCGAAAAUAAAAUUUUUUAGGGGGCUAUUUGCAAAAAAAGCCCCCAAGAUAAUAAAGAUGCGUUCUGGGGUUAAUUGCAUCAUUGGCCCCCACCCUUUGCACCAUUUUCAAUGGAGUCCCCAACCUUUAUUUUUUUUAUUUUUUUUAUUUUUUACAAGUCUCUAAUCUCUUGAUUUCAUUAUAAUUAAGUUCCAACUGUUAGAUAUGUAUUAAAAUUGACAAAAAAUAUCACGUCAGCACCAUGUCAGCACCACGAAGGCGUCGUGUUAGCGUUACGGUGGAGCUGUGUAAGCAAAGUGCAAACAAAAAAAAGAUUGAGGAACAAAUUAAAAAUCGGUGCAAAGGUUGAGGACCAAUAGUGUAAUUAAAUUUAUAAAUUCAAAGCAAGAUUUUUAAUUUAAGUUUUAAAUUUUAAAUUUAAAUUUUGAUUUUGAAUUCAAAUUUAAAUUCGAAUUCAAAUUCUGAUUUUGCAUUUAAUUUUAAAUUUUAAAUUUUAAAUUCAAAUUCACAUUUCGAAUUCUAAAUUCUAAUUUAAUUUCAAACUUCGAUUUGAAAUUUCAAGUUCAAAAUAUGAAUUUGAAUUCGAAGUUUAAAUUCGAAU
This 48525-nucleotide long non-coding RNA is filed under the name Ananas comosus (pineapple). Its description in RNAcentral is "long non-coding RNA (ACOM_LNC006789)". The record is from RNAcentral. Lineage: Eukaryota; Viridiplantae; Streptophyta; Magnoliopsida; Poales; Bromeliaceae.